RNAcentral lists this long non-coding RNA (79808 nucleotides) under Vitis vinifera (wine grape). RNAcentral's name for it is "long non-coding RNA (VVIN_LNC001392)". The stretch from base 31810 to 31881 matches the Rfam family "tRNA". Lineage: Eukaryota; Viridiplantae; Streptophyta; Magnoliopsida; Vitales; Vitaceae. The record is from RNAcentral.
AUCACCCCUAUAGUUUAGUAACAACUAACAAUGACAUCGCAAUAACAUGCAUCCAUUAAUCUGAUGUCAUGUUAGAACAAUAAAUCAAUGCUGGAUUACCGAACUUACCAAAGAAUGCCCUAAGAGACUAUUUAAGCCAUAAAUGGCCUUCUAUAGCUUGCAGACCUCAUCAAACUGCACUUGUGAGACAUGCUGAGAAGAAGGUUGCUCCAUGUGAAUUUCUUCCUAGACAUCACCAUGAAGAACUGGAUCCAACCCAUAGGAGGAUUAUAAUUUGGAAACUAUGAGAGACAAACACAUAUGAAAAAUGUCAAACUGGUUGAGAACCCAAAAACAAAUUGAAUGGGAGAACAUCGGUGGGUCAGUGACAGAGCCAGACCCUAUGAUUUCAUACAGUUAAUACGAUUACAGAUACUACCUGUAUAAAUGCUAAAGUCAGUUACACUUAUAUAGAUCCCUUCCUUCCACUCAGCUGAUCAAAUCAAACAGGAAAACUUAAGAAAGCAAAGAUGAAGAUGAAGAUUGACAUUUGGGAAAAAGGAGAGCAACAUAAGUUGUAUCACUUUCAUGUUGUUGCAGUAUUACUGGGAAAAAGCUUCUUUAUUUCUUCUAGUCUUUUCUUUUUUGUUUUUUUUUUUUUUUUUUGGUUGGGCAGUAUCACACAAAACCAGACCCAGAAUCUCUUGUGGACUGCCUCUUGAACCAGUCCUCAAGAUGCCUAGAGAGUAAAACAAUAAAUCCUUUAACAUUCCCAAGAAAGGCAAGUAAUGACACACACUACCAAAUGAGACUGUAAAGUAAAUGGACGGUUGAAAAUUAAAUAAUACAUGCAUUUUGACCAUACAAAUUUUGUAGACACACGGUUAAUUAACCAACAAUUUGCACUGUGAAUUUAACAGACCUUACAUCCAUCUUAUAACUACAAUGUUAAUUGCAAUGACUUGAUGAUAUAUCAUACUAAAUCAAGUGUCCUAUGCAGCAUAUGAAGCAAAACGGAUGCUUGGACCCAGGUCCCAGGGUCACAUAAAACCACAAAGUGAAUGGAUAUAACUCCACAAUAAAUCAACUGUCUUAUAACACUAAUUUGGGAUGAGAAAUUGAAUCAAAUCCAAAAUUCUAGUAUCAACGAGCAGGCAUCUUAAUCAAUAAUAUAGGAAUACUAAAUAAAUCUAGGUGUCUACCCAUCCCUUUUAACCUCCCUUACCUAUUCUAGCACAACCAGUUUAUACCAAGCCCUCACCAGCACCAAUGACCUCCUUUGGACAGGACAAAACAAUCUUAAUUGAUUCCACACCAUCUUAUCAUAAAUUGUGGCCAGGAUAAUGUGAAGGAUACACAUCUUAGCAAUCUGAUCUACCAAUGCUUUUAUACAACCACCUUGGUUCCCACUUCAAUGAUACCUUAUAAGUUGUUUUCCACCCAACAUCUAUUAGCCAACCAAUUUUCUCCACAUCAACAACAAUGUUCCUUUUGCAGCAAAUCAAUAAAUUGCAAUUCUCACAAGUCAGAACAAAGGGGACACUUUUAAUGAUGAUUUUAAGCCAGGAAACCUACUGCAAAUUAUUCUAGUGAUAUUCAAAUUGAACAAACAAAUAACAAGAAGUGUACAAAGUCAGAGAAGCUCCAAUGAAGCAAGUCAAAGCAUGGUAGCUAAGUGAUUAUUGAAGAAGAUAAAUUGUCUUCAAAACAUUAAGCAGUAAGAAAUGCCAAACACAGCACAAGUUAGCAAGAGUCAAUCCACACAUAAUAUCGCACAAAUGCCUUGUCAAUCUAACCUUUAAACUUCUUAUCUCUUCUUGUAGCUUUUCAUUUGCAUCUUCAAGAUCCUUAGCUUCAUUUCUCAGCUGGUUCAGUACUCGGAUGGCAUCCCCAAGUAUGGCCAAUUUGUCAGUUUUGGCAGAUUUACCAGGUUCUAAAAUGGAACUCAAGUCUAGAAACCUAAAUCGGACAAACAAGAUUUUUCCUUUGAGACACCAUCCAUCACCUUAUAGAUUGAUCAAUGGAUAGAUACACAAAAAGACAUAGAGAGCACAUAAGAAAUCUGUACAAGUAUCAAACUACAAGAAAUCAAUAAAAGAUUUGGACUACUCAAAUGGUCACAUUUCCCGAUGACAGAUAACAUACGCAAUGAUGAUGAAUCCCAUACCAUUAAAGAUUGUGUUUUUUGAAAUAAUUUUUUGAUAGGUAAGCAACUUAUCAAAAACACCAAACAGGCUAUAAACCAGUACAUGUGAUAUGUGUUAGGCACACAAAGGAAAGGAAAAGGAAGAAGAGAGGAAGACACCCUCCCUUAGUUAUACAGCAGAAGCAAUAAAUAGAAUCCAAAAUUGAUGUAUCAUCAGCAUAUUUCACAGACAAAAAAAAAUAACAAGCUUAAGAAGCAUUUCCUUCAGCUCAAAAUUGGAGGUUCCUCAUCCCAAACAUGUUCCCUAUUUCUCUCUCCAUAUGAACCACAUAACACAUGAGGGUACAAAUCUCCAAAACUUCCACCCUCCCUCCCCAGCUUCCUCCCACACCUACAAUUACCAUUCUGGCCUUUGUGAAAUGCAUCAUCUGCUCCAAAGAGCGUAAAUGAAGGUUCACAAUUCUUGCUAUACUACAAUAAACAAAGAGAUGAUUGCAAGCAUCAUAUUCUUUUUACCUUACAUAACUCCUGCAACAGAUUAAAGGCACGUAGCUGGGAAGUGAAAGACCGUUAUUUUUUUAACCUUAGACAAAAUUAAUCUGAUCUAAUAUGCCUCACCUAUUCUUGAACAAAUGCAGUUGCACAUCAGUCAAAUAAAACCAUGACAUCAAAAAAAAAAAAAAAAGGAAUCUGAUCCAACAAAACACAUGCCUGUCAUUCAAUCUUUCCCUUCGCAAUUUCUCACGGCAAGCUUUGGUUCCAGGCCUGGUGGAUGAAUCAUUGCGUCCCCUACAAAUAGUCAACAUGAAAUUAUCAUGAAAAUCUAAUUACAAAAUGAAAAAUAUGGAUCAAGUUAUUCUACCAGAAAGACUUAUAAAAUGAUAAACAAGGAACCAGCUCAUUUGAUAGUUUUCUAUCUUUUUUCAACUCAUAGUGUAAAACGGUCAUGCAAAUGAAAGCAUUCAUAAAGAAUAUCACACUUCUAUUCUAGCAAGAUUAAAAUAAAAAAAUAAAAAAUAAAAAAUAAAAUAAAAAGAUUGCUAUGAUGGAGACAACUGACAGCCACCUUUACAAGUUUACAAGGAGUAAAGGAAUGGGCUUUAAGGCCAAUCUUUAAUUUGGCAUUCUCUAGAUGACAUUGAGCUUACUUGCGAUCUUAUAUAGUUCAACAUGGACUCAGCCUAGAAGUACUUUCCAGAAAUCAGAUAAUGGGCUUCAUCAAUGGUCUUAAGUUCUUACUUUCAGUCGUUUAUGUUGUCAUUUUCCAAGAGUCUUUUAAUAUGGUCAAGUAGUCAUUCAAAGUCUCUGAUAUUUUCAAUCUUCAUUGCUACUGUGUGAGUAUUUCUAAGAAGUUAUAACUCUUUAGAGAAGUUCUAUAUAGUAUUUGAUAAAAUCAAUGAAUGAAUGAUAAAAAUUUCCAACACCAUUAGUAAUAAAUGAUACCACCAUUAGCAAGCACCUAUUAUACAUUUAUUUUUUAGAAAUUUAGAAAAAACAUUAAAAUAAAAAACCAUGAGAAGAACAACUUGAAUCAACUCAAUGACUGGACAAGUGCAACAAUGUUUAGAACAUGAGAGCUCCACAUGUUCAAAAUAUAUAUCCCAUAUAGGUAAUGCUAAAUAGCACAAUUUUCCCUUUUCUACUUUCACCAGUUACAUGGAGAAUAAGAGCUUUAAAGAACAUAUUAAGAGGACACUUAUUCCCUAAAACUUGCUCUUUUGAUUGUCUCAUUUAAAGUAAGGUAAGAACAUUGAAAAACAAAUUUGUGACACUAUCCAACAAUUCAUGGAGCAAUGUUAUAUAGAUACCAGUAUGAGCAUCAAAUUUUCCAUGAGCCCUUAGAUUCAACACCAGAAGAACCUUAGGAUUUGACUAUGAGGCAGAAUAUUUAAAAAAUGUUUUACAACGCAAGUACAUUUAGAGAAUGUUUGGCCUUCAAUGUGUUACAUCUUCUUACCCAUCUACAUCUGAGAUCACAGAAUUCAAAAACUUAACAGUGUAAAGGUUAUGGGGUUGUUAAGCAUAUAAUUACAAACUACAGUCUAGAAGUGUAAACUUCACCAACUCAUGGAUGCAACAAUCAUCAUCCUUAAACCCUCAUGCGAACCAAAUACACUUAUCCAACCAUGUUCAAUAUCAAUCCCUCAAUAUUCUAUAAAAUCCCGAAAUAUAAAUAGCAAUUCAUAUUAAUUGCAUAAUUCUCUGACCACAUACACCAUUGAAUUCAAUCCCAAAGGCAAGAAAAUAAAAAGACAACAAGGGGAAGAAACACAUUGCUACAUGAUGUUACUCAAUCCCGAUAGCAUAGUUUUCCCACAUUUAAAAAAAAAAAAAAAAAAAAAAAAAAAAAAAAAAAAAGCUCGCAUAUUAUUCAAAUCAUACAGUUCAGCAUUGAUAAGAGAUUUCAUUCCAGCAUAUUGCACAUUAGAGUUACAAAUUACCUCUUCUGUCUGCCUUCAUUUUCUUGCGACGCAGCACAAAUACGCGAAAGAUCAAUAUCGACACCAGCACUGAAAUAGAACAAGCAUACCAAUCACAUUAACACGCCGAUCUAAAGUAUCCUCAUUUCAAUUUCACGAUUAAAACAAUUUCAAACAACUUUAGGUCAAAAUGACUCGGACCGAUAUUCUAAUUAUCCGAGGUGAAGCUGAGUCGCCAAGACAACAAUUAACUAUCAAACUUAUAAAAUCAAUCACACAAUUAUGUUUCGCCAAGCCGCUGAUUGGCUGCCGAGAAAGCAAAAGAAAGGAAGAGAAAAUUUAAACAUACAGGUACCCGUCGUUUAUCCAAGAGAGAUCGUUGGAUGUGACGUCGUCUAUCAAUUUAUGAUUAAGAAAAUCCCAAGUAUCAUCGUCGAAGGAAUCCAUGGAUUUGGGAUAGGCAACAGGAAUCCAGCACCUAGUUUGGAGGGGGAGAUGGAUAUUUUGAAAGAAAAUUGCCCAGCAAAGGCCCUAAAGUGGCACCACGUGGAACACGUUUGAAUAAGUAUGACGGCGAGUUGCCGCUUCCUGUUUUGACCAACACGUGUGUCUGCACCUACUCCUUUCCCACGCGCCUCUGUCGUCGUCGAUUCGGGUCCGGUGACCCUCUCAAUUUUAAUUAACUGGAAAAUACGCGAUUUACUGAUUUGAGUGAUUUCCAUUUUUAUUUUUGAAAAAUAAAAAUUAGGAUAAAAAAUAAGUUUCGACUUUAUCUUUUUUAUUUAUUUAAAAAUAAAUAAAAUAAAAAUUUUGGAAAAGGCUUGAUGUUUUAUUUUUCAAAAUUUCUUGAGACAAUUAAAAAUUAUCUUUUGUAAAUAAAAAAGAAUAAAAUUAUAUCUUAUAUUGGGUAUAAAAGGGAUACAUAUAUUAUAAAUAUGAAAUACAUGGAAAAGUAGGUUUUUAUUCACUAAUUUAAAAAAAUAUAGAAAAAUAACCUAAAUUUUUAUUAAUCAUAUUUAUCUUUACCUAUUUAAAAAAAUUUUAAAAUACAUGUAUUUUUAUAAUUUAAAUAAUUUUUUCUUAAAAUGAUCAUUUGACAUAUUUAUAACACUAAUUAACAACUUUUUAUUGUGAGAAAUGAUUUAAGAUUAAUAAAAUAAGAAAUUCAAAAAAUUAAAACUAUAAUACUUUAAUACGAAAAAUACAGCAUAAAAUAUUAAUUUUUACUUCAUUAAAACACUUUGAUAAAAAAUAUGAAUAUCAAAAAAGAGUUGGAAAUAGAAUGAGUAAAUAUUUUUAUUUUAAAAUUUUUAAGUUUUUUUGUUUUUAAUUAUAUUUAAUUUUAAUUGUAUUUUUAAUUUUAAAAUUUUGUAAAAAAAAAUUAUUUAAUUUUAUUAAAUAAAAUGAGAAAUUGAAAAGAUUUAUAUAAUAUAUGAUAUAAAAUCAUUAUUAAUUAGAAGAUUAAAAAGAUUAUAUUUAUCACUUAUGAAUUUUGAAAAAAAAAAUCCACAAAUCUCAUAUUAUAUAAUAAAAAAUUUAUAAUAUAUUUAUCAGUCAAACACCUUUAUUAAAUUAAAAUAAUAAAUUAAUUUUAAAUAAUUUUAUUUAAAGUAAAAUGAUAUUUCAAGAAAUAACUAUUUAAAUUAUGAAAAACUACGUUUAUUUUUAAAUGGGUGGAGAUAAAACUAAUUUUUUUUAAAAAAAAUUAAAGUUAUUUUUCCUAUAUUUUAUCAAAUUAAGGAAUUAAAACCCACUUUUCCUAGUAAAUAUUAGGAUAAAGAAAUAUUUAUAGACAUCAAUUUCAUUCAUUGUUUUGAAUGAAAUUGGAUAUGGGAAAUUCGAUAACAGGCUAAAAUGAAAAUUUUAUUAAACCAGGAUUUCCAUCAGUUGUAUACAUGGAUUUCUGUGUCAAUUUAUAGUUUCGAAACAGAAUCAUUUGAUGAGAAGCGGUCAGCAGAGAGGACUUCCAGCCAAAAAAAGUUGAAACAUAAUCAAAUGACAUGAGCUUCAUUCUUAAGCUGGUCGAUCAGCUCAUCCACGGAAGAAACAAUAACUCCUGCUUUUCUCUUGGGAGGCUCAGUGACCUGAACAACCUCCAAAUCGGAUUUGAUAUCUACAUUCAAUUCCUGUGGAGUGAACUUCUUUAUUACCUUCGAUUUUGCUUUCAUAAUGUUGGGGAGUGUUGCAUACCGAGGCUGGUUCAGUCUCAAAUCAGUGCUGCAUGAGGUACAAAAUAUCAGGUCAAGUAAUGAGAUGAAACACAGAGCCAAGUUGCAUUUAUGCUAGCCUAUGGCAAAUAAUUGCAGUCAGCUUUCUGAUAAUAGCUUUGUUCAUCUGAGAAACACUUCCUAUUCAUGUGUUAUCAGCAUUUCCACAUGUUGCCUACUGCCAUUGGGCAAAAGCUUGGAUGAAAAAGAAGCAUGUUUUUGUCUUAAUUCUCUUAAGCAGAAUCAAGGAAUAGGGUUUUUGAGCAGAACUUCAUGUUACGAGUAGAUCCUUCCAUCAUUUGAGCACUAGCUAGCUAGGAAUUCUUACAAGUACAGAAUAUAAAGCUUGUAAUGACCAUGAAUGGGCUGCAAAGAACACAUGAAUAACUUCAAGAGUUCAAAACAGACAACAAAUUUUGCCCAUAGCAUAUAUUUUUAUACAGAAAAAUCAGUUGCAUACUCUUAAAUGGUCAAUUAAAGCUCAUCAACCAAAUCUGAAGCGUCACAAUUUAACAUUUGCUUAAGCCCACAUGACUUGCAUCAGGUACUCAGUCAAUAACCACAAUAAUCCCACUAGGACCUCCUCCUCUGUUCAUCAUUGAAGACCUUGGAAUUAGGGGACAUCAUUUACAUGGAAUUAGGGGAAUUAGAAGACCUUGGAAUUAGGCAAUAAGCUCAUAUGCUCUCACACUUCCCAAAGACAGUCCUCAUAGAUGGGCAAUCCUCAUCUUAAAAGCACAUCAAUCCCUAUUACAUUUGGUUUCUAACUUUAUCAUAUGCAAACAAUAUGAGACCUUUGACGCUACUGAAAUAUUAAUCUAGACAGACAUUCAUUAACUACAUUUUUCCCUGUUAUACAGAGUAGUGAAAGGUUCUAGAAAGUUUUUAAGCCAAUACACCACUGCAUACACAUCGGAAUAAAAGUUCUGCUUACAGAAACAACGCUACAAUACAUCCUAUUAAGUCCCAUACGAUAUGAAUAUUAUUAACUAUUUUCUGAUAACCCAAGAAAGAAAAGACUAGAAUAGAAUAAAUAUAUUUUAAAGCAUAUUUUCAAACUGGAAGUUAAUUAUAAUCAGUAACACAAUUAAAUAAUGAAUUUAGAGUCACAUGUUUCUAAACCAAAAAAGACAAGUUGUUUAAUUAAUAUGAAUAUAAAUUUAAAAAUAAAACUUUAAAAAUAUGAUCUAUCUAUGUUUCAAAGGUUUGUUAUAGAGAUUUCAGAGAUUUCACGCUUUCUUUUAUAAGCACAGCCAACCAAAAUACAUUAACAAACAGUUUUUCCAAGAGAGAAGACGAAUAAAAACUUCAAGAAGAAAAUUUGUUUAAGUUCAGCAUAAGAAAAUAAUUUGAGUUUAAAUCCCCAAAUCUACAUCAUUCUGUACAUCACCUAGAAUUUUUUUGAUAGGUAACCCAUUUUCCUUUUAUUUAUUUUAUUUUAUUUUAUUUCAUUGUUAAAACUUGAACUUGGAACCUCCCACAUCCAAGCUACAACCCUUUCUCACUUGAGACAAGCAUGAAGGAGUAUAUUUCACCUAUAAUCCUUAGUUAUGUUUGGUUCCUAGAAAGUACCAAGGAAAGAAAAAAAAGGGAAAAUGGUUUCUUAUGUUUGGAUGCUACAGAAAAAGAUAAGGGAAAAAAUAUUGAGGGAAAAUGCUAUAGAAAAAAGAUUUUCCUCCUGAUUUUCCUUAAAAAAUGAUGAGGAAAGUUGGCACAAUGUGCAUUCCUCACAAUUUUACUUCCCUCAAUUUUUCAAUGCACAACCAAAUAAGAGAAUUUUUUUAAAAUUUCCUCAUAUUUUUCUUUCCUUCUAAUUUCUUUCCCACAAACUUUCCAAAACCAAGCAUAGCCUUGAUUUUUUGGUCGAUGGAUCCUAAUAUUUUUUUCCAUGCAAGAAGAACCGAUGGAUUAGUCUUCUCCAUUUAUGGUUCCAAAGGUUUAGAAUUUCUUUAGCAUUUUAUUUUGCUUAAUUGAAAAGACAGAGAACAAUAAAAGUAUUUCAAGAGCUUCAUCAAAAUUUUAAACCACAAAGCUCAAUGUAAGACAUGAUGGCAUGUAAGACAGAAAACAAAAACAAAGACAGAAAAACAGUAAAUAGCAUAAGAAGAACAAAUAGAAAACAGAGUGAGACAAUUACGUGAUUACUGCUGGUAAGUCCAAACAUAAAGUUUCAAGACCACCAUCCACCUCUCUCUCCACUGUUGCCACCUCUUUCUCCUUGUCCAGCACAACCUACUAGAAAGCAGCAGCCAGGUUGAACAAUUAUUAAAGGCAAAGAAGAAUAACUUUUAAAGAGAUCAUCUAAAUGUUCUAUCAACACCAAUUGCCAAUACAUCUCAAAUUCUCUAGGGAAAGUGGGGAGAGAUACAAAAACAUAAGCUAUGUUUGGUUCCUAGAAAAUUUGAAGGAAAAUGUAAGGGAAAUAAGAUAGAAAGGAAAAGUAGAAGGAAAGACAAAGCAAAGAAAAUGCAUAGGUUUCUAACUAAUUUUAAUUAUAUUUGAUUUUAUUUCUUAUUUUUUUAUAGUAAAACAAAACAUAAGAAAAUAAUUUUCCUUAACAUUUUUUUUCCUUAAUACUUUCCAAGAGCCAAAGGUAUCAAUGGUUUUAUUGAUGCACACAACAUAAUUCUUUCAGGUAUGCCCCUUGCAGCUGGAGAACAAAAAGAAUAUAGGUACAAAAUGAUUUAAGAAAACAAAGAUUACCACCAUAGAAAAGCUAAAGUUAAGUUGAAUUCUAUUGCAUACAGAAAUCCAUGAAUCAUGACAGAAAUCCUAAUAAUAUUUUCCAUGAGGAAAAACAUCCACAUUUAUAAUACUACUGAAGAACCACAGUAACAGCAAUUUUAGGGAAAAAAGGACCACUGGCAUAUGAUGGUACCAUAAGAACAAUCUCAGCCCAAAAAACCCUUCAUAGGGGGGGCAAAUUGCUCUAACUCUUGAAAUCUACCCAAAGAAGGGAAACUACCUCUUUAAUCCAUCUUGGUUAGGUACCAGUUCCACAAGGGGCCAUGGUCCCCAGAUCCUUAUUUUUCCUUGUCCACAGUGCUUUUUACAUUCGGAGUAAUUACAAUAUCAGAAACAAGAAGAACAUAACAUCGAUUGAUGUAUUUGGAAGCAAAAAAAAAAGGUUAAAAAAGCUGUCUUAAACCUUUUGGGGUAUCUGUUAUUUUGCUUUCAUCAACUCAAUUGAUGCUUUUUUCAGCCUUUCCCUCCUUUCAUGGCCUUUGAUAUACUCUAUGCAUGCCUUGCUGAUGCUCUUACCAUUCAGCCUAAGGCCACACAACUAGCCUUUCGCAAAGACAUGACUCCAGUUUUCAGCUUUCUCAUCUUUUCAUGGCACACUCGCUAACACUGUCUUCACCCUAAGUGAUAUGAUGUGUCUCACUCAUGCAACCAGUAUUCACCCAAAGAGAUAGAUCAGAGAAAAUUUCUCUGUGUUAAGUUUCUUUAAAAGCAAACAGAGUCUUUGAGAGUUUCUUGUUAUUCCAUCUAUGACCAAAAGGGUUGAGAUUCAUGGCCCCUUGCAAUGAAUUUUCCAUUAUCAUCUUCAAAUCUGACAUUUAAAUCUUGUUUUCUUGUUUUCCUGUUUUUACUCUCAAAAUAAUCCAAAAACAGUAUUUUGGAAACCCUCAAUUACUUCAAACGAUCAAUGAGAGGCAAAUUGGAAACCAUAAUUCACAAGCGCUGGCAAAUGGAAAUGGACUCUAAAAAGAUGUUAGCUGUAAACUAAUUGCUUGUUGGCUCUGGUGGCAUCCAUCAUCAAAGAAAAAAGAUAAAUAAACUGAGACAUGGAAUUUCACUAUCCUUUUUUUCUUAUAGGUAAGCGAAGCUUGUAUGAAAGGAAUAAAGAAAAUAUAUACAACAUAUACAAAGCAACCAAAAUGGAAUUUCACCAUCCUAGCUGAAAAGUGGCGCACUGUUACCCUACUUGAUGUUGUAAUAAGCUUUUUCAUCCUAAACUAGGGGAAAAUGCCACUAGCAUGCACCUUACAAGUCUUUCUAAACAUUUCUGCAUCUCAUCAUGAGAGUUUUAUGGCAGUGAAACCCCAUCCCAUGCCUCCGUCAGUGAGGAUUCUAUAACAACAGAUUCAUAUAUAUCAUUCUCUAAUCCUUUUCUCUUGUAUGUGAAUAGAACAUAGCUCUGUUUGGAUCCAAGAAAGAAUGACAGAGGAGACCAAAACACUCAAAACACUGAACAUAACUUUAGAAAGUUCAAAGUUAUUUUCAGGAUUUGCCUUUUAUUUCUCCCAUUCUCUCUGAUAUAAAGACAAAACCUAAUACUUGUAGAAAGACACAUGGUUAAAUUUUUGUUGUCAACGCCAACAAAUCCAUGUAAGGUGAUGCUUUUCACUAAGAAGAGACUCUAAGAUUAGAUUCCCAAUGUAUAGAGUGUUUGCGCAGUAAACAAAUCAAUCACUUAUCAUUUAUAUAACAGUAGAAGUGUAUGGAGAGUGGGACUAACCUUGGAAGCAAAGGUCCCCUGAGGCCAGUUGAGCAACCCGGCAACCAUUUGCCCUGUUUGAUUGCAAUCGUCAUCAAUGGCCUAGAAAACCCAUGCCCACAUCAGAAAACAACAAUCCACCAUAAAAAGAGUCUAGGAUUUUCACGGAAUCCGCAAAUUUAUUUUUAAAUCGUUACCAAAAACCCUAAUCUCUGGGCACGAAUUCACAGACCUGUUUGCCCAGAAUAAGGAGGCCAGGCUUCUCCACAUCGACGAGAGCUUUGAGAAGCUUAGCAACUGAAAGUGGGUACAGAGUGGCGGAAGCUUCGACGUGGAUGGCCCUAUCGGCGCCCAUGGCGAGACCCGUUCUGAGCGUGUCGACGCACUGGCUGGGACCCACACUGACAGCGAUAACCUCCGACGCCAGACCCGAUUCCUUGAUCCUCAGAGCCUCUUCCAAACCUAUCUCACAAAAGGGGUUCAUCGACAUCUUGACGUUGCUGGUCUCCACGCCGCUCUGAUCGUGGGUUGGCGAUUGUUAUUGGAUGAUGAUGAAAUUACAGAUACUGAAUAACUUGAGAGUUUGGAUUUGGGUUACCUUGUCGGAUUUGACUCUGAUCUUGACAGCGUAGUCCACAACACGCUUUAUCGCCACCAUUAUCUUCAUCUCGUAUAUGGGUGGUUAUCUUCUCCGGCACAAGGGUAUUGGCAAAUGACUGAUGAUGAAGGACGAGGAUAUUCGCCCGAGCCCUACUGCACGACACCACAUCCGCUUAUAAAAUCUUUUGAUACGGAUAAGUACAAGGGAAGUGGAAAAAAAGGAUUAUUAAGAAAAAUAAAUAUAUUACCAAAAAAAUUAUUUAAAAUUUUGUUCAUGUAGAAAGAACCCGUGAAUCAGAUCGAAAAAAUUAUAUUAAAACUGCUGUAUAGCCGAAAAUUGUGUACAGAAUUUAUUUUAACAUUGUAUUAUUGAAUUUUUUAUUCAAAAAUUGCUUAACGUGAGAUAGAAAUUAAAAAAUCAUUAGUAAUUUUGUCCGAAAGUUGUUAUAUUUCAUGUGUUUUAAAAAUAGAUGUAAUUUAUUCCUAUUUGCAUUUUUAACGUACAUUUAAUUAAAUAACCCAAAAAGUUAUUGAGUUCACAUCAUCUAUGGAGUCUACCUCUCUUUGCUUUUGUUGCUUCCAAAAAUACCAUACUCCCAUAUUUUUUUGGUUCUACUCAUUUUACUUUAUUUUUUUCAUUCCAUUCAUUCCACGUGAAGUCUUCAAUCCUAAUAACAUUUACUAUAUUACAAUUAAGUUUAAUUUUUAAAAAACUUAAUUAGGGUUAAAUUUCCUUUGAGAGAACUUCAUUACAAUUAUUUGAGUUGUACGUUAAGUUUCAUUUAAAAAUAACUUAUUUAAAAAGAUGUUAAGCUUCCCCUAUUUUAUUUAUAAAGUUUAAUAUCUAUUUGAUUUUAUAUUUGAAAUCCAACUAAAACCUAAUAACGAAUUGUUGUAAAAAAACUCCAAUCAAAAUACUAACAAAAAUUAAAACAUAAAACUCUGAUAAAAAAUUGUUAAAAAAUCCAACAAAAAAACAAUCAUAAAAAACCCUAAUCAAAAACAUCAUGGAAGUUUAAAUGAAAUUGCCAAAAAAUAAAAAGUAUAGAAAACCCUAACAAAAAAACAACACCAAAACACCUGACAAAAAACAAUUACAAAUUCUAGCACAAAAACCCCCAAUUAAAAAUAUCUAUAAAGAAAAACCUAAAAAAAACCAAUUAUAAAACCUCCAACAAAAAAUAAAGAGAAAGAUGAAGAAUAUGAAAAAUUUUGAAGAAGAAAGAAACAUGAGAGAACUAUCAUUGAUCUUUAUUUGUUAAUCUUUGUUAUAUGUUUGAACUUCACUAGAAAAUGAGAGAGAGAGCAUAAACCUAAAGAGAGAAAGAGCUGAAAAUGAGAGGAGAAAUGAAUCACAAUGAGGGGAAUGACAAUUUGAGGAAAUAUAGAAGGGUUAAAUCAUUUGAACUAGGUUAACGUUUUUAUUAAAAAAAAAGAGUAAUGAAGGUCCUUGUUCUAAUUUCAAGAGUAUGUCUGUUAAUUACCAAAUGUGGCAACUCUAAAUAAAAUCCUUUGUUAUCAACUAAAACUAAAAGUCCCAUUACAUCAUAUCCAACUUUCAUUUGUUAUCAACAAAGUAAAACUAUAUACAACUAUUAUCACCAUCUCUCCUAUUUUGAUGUUAUUUUCUUAGAUGAAUUUGUAAAUCAAAAUUUACACCACCCAUAAAUUUUUUGAGCUUCCUAUUUAACACAACUUCAAUUUGUUAUACUUUGAACAUCACAAAGAUAAAGUAAUCAACAUUUUGCUUGGACAAGUUUUUCUUCUCUAAAGUUUAGAGUCCUAUUUCACUUCCCGUUUAUGGGUUGUUAGUUCAUCUAAUAUCUCACCAUCAUCCAUUCCAUGUACUGUGUUUCCGAAAUGAGUUGAUUCCACAUCCUAAAUGUCUGUGCAAAUUAAUAAGGAAUGUCGAGUUACCAAUUUUCUUAAAAGCUUAAUCUUGCAAGAUUUGGAUUCAAAAUGCAUAUCAUGCUCUCUUUAACACCCCUCCCCCCUCUCACAUGUAGCCCUAUACCCACACGUAGAGAAAUAGACUUAUAGGAAAAUUGGUAGUUUAAUAUAGUAUCAGCACUUGGUUUGGUGGGAGGUCUCCUGUUUGAGUCACCUCUCCACAAUUUACAUUUCUCCUAUUUGUUUAAUUUACAGUUCUUCCCUUAAUCUGUAAUUCUUUGGAUAUAAAUUUUCCCCCUAAUUUGUAGUUUUGUGGAUAUGAAUCUCUCUUCCAUGUUCAGGUAUGGGGCCACACAUAAGAGAGGGUGUUAAAGAGCAUGAUAUGCAUAUUAAACCCAAAUCCUAUAAGUUAAAACUUUUAGGAAAAUUGGUAGUUUAACGCUUUUAGGAAAAUUGGUAGUUCAACAUGUGUACACCCCAUUUUGGGGACUGCUAUUGCUCCCACUUCUUUUUGUCAAAUGGUGGAGCUUUUUAGGAGCACAUGUUGUAUUUGGAAAGGCUAUUAGAAAAUGGCAACAUGACUGUUAAUGGAAGUAAUGAUUUUCUAAAAAGGCAACCAUGGGAAGACACAUAACAAAGAUGUUUGGGGAGGAGGGAGAGUGUGCAUCAAGACUACUCAUGAGGGGUAAGAAACAAAAAAAAAAAAGUGUCGAAGAUAACUAAAAAAUUGGAGAAACAUAAAGGAAUAAGGAUUUUAGGGCUAUGGAUGGUGAACAAGAGUGAAUUAUGGGUGUCUAGGACAGCUAGGAAUGGUGAGAGGAGUAGGGAGCUGUAGAAGGUGAUGAGCUAGGUAAGAUGUAUUUUCGAGAAAGAAAAGAACCAAAGAAAGAAGGUGGUGAAUUAAGUGAGACACGUCUCAGAGAAGCAGAGAAAGUUGGCUUGAAGCCAAGCAAACUUUUGCUUGAGAUGAGCAUUGCCUAGUAAGAUUGUUUCGAUUCAUCGAUUAUUACUGAUCAUCAUACUUCUCUUGUCUUAUAUUCAUGUGAUUAUUUUACAUUGAUUGUGGGGUUGCUUUGGUUUGGUUAUUAUGGCUUCAUCCUCUAUUUCUUUAGUUUUAUUCAAGGAUAAAUCUAAUUGUGCUUUGAUUAGUUAUUCCAUAUUUGAAAAUCUUUGUGUAUUUUGGGUUUUUUCUCUUUAGAUAUUUUCUAGAUUAAUCCACUGACCUUUAAACCCACAAAUAAAGAAAAAUGAAAUGAGUUUUUUCAUAUUUGUUGGGUGUUUGGCCCUUGUUUAUCUUUUUUUAAAGCUUUAUUCCUUUAUAUUCUCUAUUUCUCCCCAUUUUGUACAUGGGUGUUUCAAUCAGAGUCUCUAUUUUGGCUUCCACAUUUGAGAUUUCUUUUAUGAGCGAAGACCCAAAAAUGGAGACUGGCUUCUUGUAAUUGAUAAAAUAGUUAGUCACCCAUUAGCUUAGAUGAAGCAUAGAUGUUAACCGGAUUGUGAACAUGGAUACUCUAUUUUGGGCCUAUUAGGCCUUCCAAUCCUCUCUUAGUUUCAUUAUUCUUGAGGAUAGUGUUUGGUUGUGUCUGCUACUUAUUCUGUGGCUUCGGUGGUCUGUUUGUUUAUUCUUGGCUAUUAUCAAUGCUAACAAUGGGAAAGAGACUGGUUUUGGUUAUGCUCUUACGGAUUUGAAGGUGAUCAAAGGGUCCAGUGAAGAGAAGAUUAGUAGGUCAUAUUAGGUUAAUUAAUUAAUUAGGACAUGUUUUGAGUUAUAUUAAGUAAUACAAGCUCUUAGUGGGCUUAAGUAACUUAAGCCUAGUGGGGAAUGCCAUAAAUACCCCUUAGGGGUUAGCAUUUCCAUAGGUUUUUCUAGAGAGUCAUCUUUCACCUCCAAAGAAGGAGAGUCAUAGCCUUUACCAUUUUUUCCAUCAUUAUCGAAGUGUGUCAAGAUUAAGGUUUAAGUCAUUGAGCGGAAGACUCCAGGUUUAUGAGACUUCAUACAACUUCGUUUUUCAUUUUCAUCAAAUGGAAUUAAUUUGAAAACAUUUGAAUCUGAAGUAUGGUUUUUGUUAGCAUAUUUCGAAUCCCUUUAAAGUUUAAAAAUGCAAAUUUUCCACUAUGUAUAGGAUUUAAAAUCGCUUAAGAUAGUUAAACAUGUUCCCCACUUGAUCUGAAUUGGGAAACGGAGAAAUCUGAUAUUUUCCCAUCACAAGGUAGGAUAAGAACUUGUGAUUGAUCUUUAUGGAUUGGACUAAUUAAUUAAUUGGAACCUAAUUAGGCUAAUUAAUUAAUUAAGACCUAAGCAAACUAGUUUAAGUUACACAAGCCUAGGAUGGACUUAAGUGACUUAAGCCCAUGGGAAGCUUAUAUAAACUCCUUUAGGGGUUAGGGUUUCAAACUUUUAUCAUCUAGUCUUCAAUUCCUUAAAGAGAAUAGAACUCGAGCCAACAACUCUCCUAAAGGAUUCUAUUGCUCCGUGUCAAGAUUCGAAAAAAAACUAUUUGAUGGAAGGUUGUUAUGUUUAUGAGAUUCGUUAUGUUUUUUUACACCUUUUCACUAAAUGGAAUUGAUAUAGGAAUGUUCAUAUCUCAAGUGCAACACACUUAUUCUCUUUAGAUUUAUAUUGCUUAUGGUUUUUUUUUUUUUUGUCAUGGUUUUCCGUUAAGAUUAGAUUAAGAGAGCCCUAUGUCAUAGAAUGCUUCAAAUGAGCCUCCCCGGGGGUUUGUAUAGAGCCCAUGAAGCUUCUAGAGACUCCUAUACUUAGCCAUUGGUGGGAAGAGUGUGAAAGGUUCUACAGAUGUCUAGAGAUAUUUACACAUCUCUACACUAUGGUGGAAGGCAUGAGAGGAGUCUAAGGCAUUCUAAAGAAUUAUAAAGAUCUCUUAUAUAUUCUUGUACAUAGGCUUGUACAUAGAAUUGUGUAGGAAGUUAUAGAUUAUUCUUGAGCUGUAAGGAACCCUCCAAGGUUCCAGAGAGUUCCAUUGGUGCCUAUAAAUAGGUGAAUGCCUCAUUUGGCCAAGACACUAAGCAAGUGAAUUCCAAAACACUUGUAAAGCUUCCUUUGAAUAAUAAAAGUUUCAAUUCUUCAAGAGUUGCCUAUUAUGCCUUCUAAAACUUCUAAGUCAUGAGCAUCUUAACCUAACAAGUUAAGCAUUGGGAGUAAUGCUAACUUAGCAAGAUCAAGGAUCUUGACUUGUCUAAGUGUUGCACGAUCUUAGGAAAAGAUUAAGUUUGUGACAGUUGGUUUCAAAGUGUGACUACGAAGUGAGCAUAGUAAAGGAAACAUGUCGAGCUUCAACAUGGAGGAAACUAGUGAGCAAACCCGUGGGAAAGAAACCGAGCCUACUGCAUAGGACAGGGACAUGAAGGAUAAAUCUCGUAAUGCCAUAGCCAACGUGGAGGCAAGGCUAGCCAAGGUGGAGCUAGCCAUGGCAGACACCCGGGAAGGGGUGGACUUAAUCGAGCAAGGCAUGGAAAAUGGCUUAGAGGAUCUAAAUGAGCAUAUCCAAGACCUUCAUGAGAGAGUGCUAGGCUUACAAGUUCGGCCGAUGUCAUAUGAGGAGUUCAUGUCCUUCCAAAACGAGGUCAUGAGCAUGUUUGCUAGCAUGGAGUCGAAGGUGGAGGCCUUGGCUGCACGCAUAGAGGCCCAAGACCAAGAGGUUCAACAAGAGCUAGCUAUCUACAAGACUGUCUUAUCAGCACGAGUCAUGGCCACUCAUGAGGCACUAAGGGUGGAAGUGCCCAAACCACACACGUUCAAUGGCAAGAGGGAUGCCAAGGAGUUGGACAAUUUCUUGUGGCACAUGGAGCUCUACUUUGAGGUUAUAACACUAAUAGAUGAAGCCACUAAGGUAUGUACCACAACCCUCUACCUCACCAAUAAAGCUACUCUAUGGUGGCGUCAGAGGUUUGCCAAUAUAGAAAAAGAAAUGUGCACCAUAGACACAUGGGAUGCCUUUAAGCAAAAGAUCAAAAAACAAUUAUACCUUAAUGAUGUGGCUUACCUAGCAAGGAAAAACACAAAAUGUCUUAAGCACACAGACUCGAUCCGUGAGUAUGUCAAAGAAUUCUCUACACUUAUGCUUGAGAUACCCAACAUGUCUGAGGAAAAGCUACUAUUCAACUUCAUGGACAACUUGCAAAGCUGGGCCGAGCAAGAGUUAAGGAGAAGUGGUGUCCAAGACCUAGCCACGGCCAUGGCGGUAGCGAAGUCCUUGGUGGAAUACAAAAAGGGAGACUCUUUUAAGCCCAAGCCACAGUCUAAGGGUAAUCAUGCUAAAGGUGGGGAAACAAGGGAUCAAGGAGGUACACUCCUAAGGAAUGAUCAAGCAAGACCUCUGGUGGCAAGGAUGGUAAGGGUAAGGAUAAACGGAAAUAGUUCACGCCUAAGAUCAAUUGCUUCCUAUGUGAUGGUCCACAUUGGGCGCGAGACUACCUCAAAAGAAAAGCCCUAAAUGCCAUGAUCGAGGAAAAGUAGAAGGAAGACAAUGCUCAUGUGGGAUCAUUACAACUCUUAAAUGAUAUCAAGGCUAAGUCAGUGCUUAAGACACCUCAAAGUAAAAGUCUAAUGUACAUAGAAGCCCUUGUAAAUAGGAAGGCUACCAAGGCUUUGGUGGACACUAGUGUCACUCAUAACUUUGUCUCGAAGGAUAAGACAAAGAACUUAGAGCUCCAAGCAUCUAAGGAAGGAGGUUGGCUCAAGGCAAUUAAUUAAGUUUCCAAGCCAUCACACGAAGUAGCACGCAGGGUGGCAAUGCACAUUGGCUCAUGGGAAGGAAUGGUCGACUUCACAGUGGCACCCAUGGACUACUUCAAGAUGGUACUGGGAAUGAACUUCCUAUAGAAAGACAAGGUCAUGCCACUACACUUCCUACAUUUAAUGGUUAUCCUAGAGGAUGAAAAGUCAUGCAUAGUCCUUACGGUCACCGAAGGUUCACCCAAGACCCCUAUGAUAUCGGUUAUGCAAGUAAAGAAGGGAUCAAAGAGGAAAGAGGUGACCUACCUCACCACUCUUAAGGAGGAAAAUGAUGAUGAGUUGGGGGAGCCCAUGCCUAAGGAAAUCAAGAGAGUCUUUGAUGAGUUCAAGGACGUGAUGUUGCCUAAGUUGCCUAAAAGACUCCUUCCUAGAAGAGAGAAAGAUCAUAAGAUCGAGUUAGAUGCAGGAACUAAGCCCCUUGCUAUGGGGCCAUAUAGGAUGGCACAACCCAAGCUGAAAGAGCUAAGGAAACAACUUAAGGAGUUGUUGGAUGCAGGGUUUAUCCAACCAUCCAAGACUCCCUAUGGCGCACCGAUUUUAUUUCAAAAGAACCAUGAUGGGUCCCUACAGAUGUGCAUCGAUUACCAAGCACUCAAUAAGGUAACAAUAUAGAAUAAGUACCCCAUUCCACUCAUUGUUGAUCUAUUUGAUCAACUUGGUAAAGCAAGGUAUUUCACUAAGUUGGACUUGAGAUCAGGCUACUACCAAGUGAGGAUUGUGGAAGGAGACAAACUGAAGACUACAUGUGUGACCCGAUAUGGCUCAUAUGAGUUCUUAGUGAUGCUCUUCGAUCUCACCAAUGUACCAACAAUGUUUUGGACACUCAUGAAUAAGAUCUUCCAUCCCUAUUUAGACUAGUUUGUGGUGGUAUACUAAGAUGACAUAGUCAUCUACAAUAGCAUCUUAGAGGAGCACGUGGAGCAUUUAAGGAAGGUCUUCAAGAUCUUAAGGUAAAACGAGUUAUAUGUAAAGAAGAAGAAAUGCUCAUUUGUUAAAGAGGAUGUGAGCUUCCUAGGGCAUCGCAUCAAAGAUGGCAAGCUGAUGAUGGAUGACAACAAGAUGAAGGUCAUCUAGGAAUGGGAUCCACCUACUAAGGUACCUCAACUAAAGUCUUUCCUUGGCUUGGCUAACUAUUACCAGUGGUUCAUCAAGGGUUACUCUACAAAGACAGCUUCACUCACUAAUCUUCUUAAGAAGAACAAGGCAUGGGUGUGAGACAAAAGGUGGCAACAAGCCUUUGAAGAUCUAAAAAGUGUUGUGAUUGAGGAGCCAAUGUUGGCAUUACCCAACCACAUGAAGGUUUUUAAGAUACACACAGAUGCCUCAAACUUUGCUAUUAGGGAAGUUCUGAUAAGAUAGACAUCUAAUCGCCUUCAAGAGUUGCAAGCUAAAUGACAUAGAGAGACGCUACAUGGUACAAGAAAAUGAUAUGACUGUCAUUGUCUAUUACUUGCACACCUGAAGACACUAUCUUCUAGGGUCUCACUUCAUAGUGAAAACCGACAAUGUUGUCAUUAGUUACUUCUAAACACAGAAAAGUCCUAAGUAAGCUAGGUGGCAAGACUUUCUGGUUGAGUUUGACGAUGCGCUGGAGUAUAAGACAAAAAGUACUAAUCAUGUGAAUGACGCCCUAAGCCGUAAUGUAGAGCUAGCAUUCAUGACGAGCCAGCCCCAAUGAGACAUAAUAGAUCUUCUAAGAGAGGGGUUGCAACAUGAUCUAGUGGCUAAGAGCCUUAUUACCUUGGCCCAUGAGGGAAAAACUAAGUGUUUUUAGGUAGAGGACGACCUACUCUACACUAAGGGGAGACUACUCUACGUGCUUAAGUGGGGGAACAUAAGGUAGAACUUGAUUAAGGAGUGCCAUGACACCAAGUGGGUUGGGCACCUUGGGCAACGACGCAUAAAGAGCACUACUCGAGUCAGCUUACUACUGAUCUUAGAUACAAGAUGAAGUUGAGGCAUAUGUGAGGACUUGUCUUGUGUGCUAACAAGACAAGGUAAAACAACAACAACCUAGAGGCUUGUUGGAGCCACUACCUAUAGCAGAGCGUCCAUGGGAGAGCAUCACCAUGGACUUCAUCAUCGGGCUACCUAAGUUGGAGGGCUAUGGCUCGAUCAUAGUGGUAGUGGAUAUGUUCUCUAAGUAUGUGACCUUCAUAGUAGCCUCUACUGACUGUACUGCAAAGGAGACAGCAAGGCUAUUCUUGAAACACAUGGUCAAAUACUGGGGGUCGCCUAAUUACAUCAUCAGUGAUCGCGAUUUGCAUUUCACUAGGAAGUUUUGGACAAAGCUCUUUAAGCUUAUGGGUUUGAAGCUUCACUUCUUCACAAGCUUUUCACCCGUAAACAGAUAGGCAGAUUGAGAGGGUGAACGCCUUAUUAGAGUUAUACUUAUCCUUCAUGAGUGUCAACCAAAAGGAAUGGACUAAGUUGCUAGAUGUAAUCCAAUUUUCAUACAACUUGCAAAGAAGUGAGACAACCAACAAGAGCCCGUUCAAGCUAGCCAUAGGGCAGCAACCAUUGACUCCUCACACACUACCAAUAGGCUAUACGAAGAGAAGUUCAGCGGCUUUGAAGUUCACUAAGGGGUGACACGAGCCAACUGACAUAAUAGCUCAUACUUGGAUAGGGCCGCUAGAAAGAUGAAGAAGUGGGCUGACAAAAAGCGACAUCACACUGAGUACAAGGUCGGAGACAUGGUCUUUGUCAAGCUCCUUCCUAAAAAAUUCAAGUCACUAAGGCCGGUACAUAAAGGCCUUAUGAUGAGGUAUAAAGGACAUUUCCCCAUACUUGGAAAGGUCGGCAAGGUGUCCUAUAGAGUUGAGUUACCACCGAGGUUGAAGAUUCAUAUCGUCUUCCACGUAAGUUACAUAAAAUCAUAUCACGAAGACAAGAAUUAUCCAAGCCAAGGGAUGUCCUAGAUGACACCUACAUCGAUUAUGACCUUCUAUGACAAGGAAGUAGAACACAUCAUUGCAGGCUGAGUCAUCAAGAGAUGAGGCGUGCCUCCUGCUACGGAGUACUUGGUGAAAUGGAAGGGACUACCAGAGAACGAGACUAGCUGGGAGCCAAUAGAUGCACUAUGGCAAUUUCAGGAGCACAUUAAGUGGUUCUAGGUGGAAGGUGCGACAAGGACGUUUACGGUUUAGGUAGGGGAGAGUGUCAUAGAAUGCUUCAAAUGAGCCUCCCCAGGGGUUUAUAUAGAGCCUAAGAAGCUUUUGGAGACUCCUACACUUAGUCAUUGGUGGGAAAAUGGUGGAAGGUUCUAAAGAUGUCUAAAGAUAUCCACACAUCUCUACACUAUGGUGGAAGGUAUGAGAGAAGUCCAAGGCUUUCUAGAAAAUUCUAGAGAUCUCUUGUAUAUUCUUGUACAUAGGCUUGUACAUAGAAUUGUGUAGGAAGUUUUAGAUUAUUCUUGAGUUGUAAGGAACCCUCCAAGAUUCCAAAGAGUUUCAUUGGUGCCUAUAAAUAGGUGAAGGCCUCAUUUGGCCAAGGCACCAAGCAAGUGAGUUCCAAAGCACUUGUAAAGCUUCUUUUAAGUAAUAAAAGCUUCCAUCCUUCAAGAUUUAUCUACUACGCCUUAUAAAGCUUUCAAGUUGUGAGCAUCUUAACCUAGCAAGCUGAGCAUUGGGAGCAAAACUGACUUAGCAAGAUCAAGGGUCUUGACUUGUCUAAGUGUCGCACGAGCUUAGGAAAAGACUAAGUUCAUGACACCUAGGACUAGUAGCAUGCACCCUAAGUAAUCCAAGGCUAGAAAUGAAAUGAUACAAGGAUUCCCAACACUUGACUUAAUUCCUUAGAAAUUGAAACUCAAUAAAAAACAUUAGUGUCAUUAACCUCAUUUUUUUUAUUACCAAUACUUAAUUAGGGGAAACCUUGAGCUAACAACCUCCUCAUUUUUUAUGAUGAUAAAACUGUACCAUCUAAAGAAAGCUUUCCUUAAUGUAUGCAUAUUAUAAGCAAUUUAAACAUUCAUCAUAAAAGAUGGAAAACAUAAACUCAAAUGGAGACAUGGAUAUAUAGAUAUAAGAGACAUCAUAAAGGUUGCAACAUGAUCGUAUAUCCGAAAUAGCAUCCAAAAGCAUGUCAUCCAAAAAAAAAUCAACCAUAAUAACCAUGUUCAAAUUGUCCCAAAAAGGAAAAAAAUAUAUAUAUGAAACAAAAAGUAUUAAAUAGUUUACUAAAUGUUAUGCCCUAGAUACCUAAAGAUAUCUCCCCCUUAGGCAACAUCGAAACAAUGAGGGAACUAUAUGGCUCAAGGUUGAGGUGGUGGAAACAAGGAACAUAGGACAGCUAUUGAAGAAGCUAAAAUUCUUCAUAAAUGAUUGAAUUUUAUUUCACCAUGAGAAACAAUACAAAGAGGGAUUUUUUUUUUUUUUUUUUUUUUUUUAUCAAGGGGAAGACCCCUUUCUCUUUACUACUUAUCCCUUUUAAUAAAAAUUCUUCCACAUUUUUCCACUUUAUUUUGCCAACAUUCUUUCAACCCCUUUUGCACAAAAAUGCCAAAGAUAGUAUUAGGAUAACCUUUUACAACCAUUGCUAACUUUUGACACAAGUUGCUAAAAAUUGUUGAAGAUUUGCUUUUAAUGUCAGGUAGGAUAGCAGAUUGGUUCUAAUUGAAGGUCAUUUCUUGUGGAGGACCUUACUUAUAAGUGAGAUGAUUGUUCCUAUCUUCAUGGUUUUAUGUUGUAUAGUUAUAGAGACUUUUUAGAGGCUAUCAGCUUUAGAGCAAAUUUAUGUUGUUUGUUAGGGAUUAAGUAUUUUAUUCAAAUUGGGUGAAUGGUACUACCUCUUUACUUGAGAUGGCUUUGAGAUUGGGUGGUUGAAUAGUAGUACUUUGGAAUGGUCUAGUUUUUGUUCGCUUUAGCUAUCAUUUUCUUAUGCUGUGUCUAUAGACGAGUGGAGACGUCAUUUGGAAAUUGGUCAAAUUGCCCGUGAAAUUGAUCAAAUUGUCAAGUUGUCAUCCUAAAAUUGACUAAACCUAGUUUGUAAAAAUGAGAAACGACCGUCACUAGCGACUAACAUCUUCUCAAGCUAAGUAUUAAUAGAUCCAAUCUGAGCAUAAAGGGCAUCUUAAUGUUGCAGGUUCAAUGCUCAUGAAGCAUAAUAUUUUGGAUACUUGGUGUGAGACACCUCAGCAUAAGUCUAAUCCAUAAGGAUAGUCUCCUCAGGAGGUUGAGAUGUGGGCAAUUGAAUGGUGGCAUCCAUGCCCUUGGUUUGCAUCUCCUGUUGAACAUCCUCACCCCCUAAUCCUUUAUGGUCACCCUCAGUCUCUAUCUAUAGAAUCUCUGCCUCUUACUCAACCCGGUCUUCAUUCAUAGCAGGACCCUUUCUUUUUCUUUCCAAUGAUCCAUUAGGCAAUUUCUCAAACAGCAUUCGGUCUGGAUUUUACGUUAUAGGUAUCAUAGGAUGAGGCCUGAAUGUUUUUUUCUCUUCUUAUGUCCACAUUGAAUGCUUUCAGGAUUUUUGUGAUCAGUCUUCUUCCGUUGGCCACUACUUUAGAAUUGCUUUUACAACAGUUUUUCAUGUGUUGAAAGAUGAUAAGGAAACCUUAGAAUGGAUCGGAGUCAAUAGAAAAUGCUACAUAAUAGGACACCUUGUCUCUAUGUCCACCCUUAGGUAGAAAAAUAUGUUUGAUCAUGUGGUGGUGCACCCUAGAGAUAAUGCUCAAGGCAUGGGCAUGGAGCUUUGAAGUCACUGUGUCGAUGGGUAAGUUACAUAUCCUCUAGAAAGCCCUACCUAGGUUAAAACUAGACACUAUAGGCCAUCCCUUCGUCUCAAAUAAACAAAGUCCCCCACAAAGGAUCUCCAAAAUAUCACAAAGCAUAUCAAUAUUUAGUUUAAUUCAACUCCUCUAACAAAUGUGCUAAUUGGCCUUCAUAUAUUUUAGGUUCAAGUAAAAUACCUGAACAAGGUUGGGGUAUGUAGGCUCUCUUGAUGAGAUGGUAUUGGUGAGUAUUUUUUUUUCUUCAAUACAAAACUAUUACAACACUUGGUUUUUUUUUUUUCUAAAAAAAAAAGAAAAAUAAAAAUAGUUUUAUAUUAUACUUAGUUUCAAGAAAAAUAAUAAUCAAAGCAAAAUGAAAAAAAAAUUCUCAUAUUGGUUUCUCGUGAAAAAUAUAAAAGCAAAUAAAAUACAAUUAAAAUUAAUUAAAAUCUUAUGUAUUUUUAAAUUAUUAAUUUUUAUAUAAAAAAUGAAAAAUAGUAUAAUGAAUUUAGAAGAAUAUAUAAAAAUAAUGUAUUAACUUUAAAUCUUUUUUUCUUUAUAUAUAUAUUUUCCCUUCAAUUUUCUAAUACCAACACAUAAUAAGGUUAAUGUCUUCUAGCCAACCAAUUGUAAGUCAAUUUUCAUAGAGCUUUUUUUUUUUUUUUUUUUUACAUGCCACCAAGUAGUUAUAUAAGCAUUUUUGCAUGUUAUUGUUAUCCAACAUACAAUAACUAUAACAUCCAAUUAUUAUGAACAUGAACAAUAAAAUUAGAUGCAACUAACUAUUUAGUGUAUAACAAGAAGUUGGUGAAGUAAUUCAUCCUAACAUGAUUCAACAAUUUUUGUUUAUUUUUCAAGAUUAAUUAUAACAUACCCAUUCUAUUAAAGUUGUUGAGAUAUUUGAGCAAAACUAAAAAUCAACAUUAAUUCAUUUUAUACCCACAAGAGAAAUAAGAUUUGUUUUUUUGUUUGAUAAUAAAGUAGUUGUAGUUAUUAAUGAUAAUUUUGAUCCUAAUUUAAUAGGUAUCCAAAAAAAAAGGAAAAAUGCAAGUAAACCAAUUCUUAUCUAACACAAUUAUUACCACCUUAAAAUCCUGAGGGGUAGCUCAGUUGAUCAGUUCGAGUCCCUUUAGGACCAUGAAAAGCUUACCCGAUGGUUCACCUUAAGAAAAGCAAAGCAUUUAUAUAAUUCAACUGGUAGUUGAUAAGUCUUAGAAAGGGUUUUGCCAUCAUUGGCUUCUCAGUAAAGGGCAAAUUUGGGUUGUGGCUGACAAUUAUUGAAUUUGUGAAGAAAUAUGUGAAGAAAGGAAACAAAAAGAGUUGAGGACAGAAUUCUUCAAUUAAAAAAUGGUUAGCCCAUGAACCCAUUCUUCAAACAGUAAGCCAAUGAGCCAAUGAGCCAAAAAGAAAGAAGAACAGCUGGUUUCAUCUUUUUAUCUUAAUGACUUUGACAACCCAUCUUUCUUUUAAAUACUUGUGACUUUGGAAUAUAAUUAAAAUGAAACUUUGGAAUGCCCACAUCUGAUUCACGGCCUUUUUACCUGUUUUCUUGUUUAACAUUUUUUUAAAUAUUAUAACAGAUGGAAAAACAUGAUUCUAACAGGCUGGAAAAUAGUGGAAGUUGGAACACCAACCAUAACCAAACUAUACCUUCCAUCUUUCUCCAACACUCGGAAUUAUUGAUACAAGUUGGUGGUUUUAUGAUUGUUUCUAUUGAGGGGACCCCUCUCCAUUUCCAAUUUCAAUGGAAAGGUUCUUCUUUCCCUACUUUUUUUUUUUGUUUUUCAAAUUCUUGUAGUUUUGUCUGUCUCUCUCAACAAAGCAAACUGCAAUCACUAAUUCAAAGAAAAGGAAUCCUAAAUGAAAAGAAAAGAAAGGAAAGGAAUGGUAAUUUAGGCUAUGAUGAUGCUCCUAUAUAAUGGCUGUAAGUCAAUAACAACACACUGGACCCGCCUCCUAUCUCAAAAGAUCACAAACCCAAAUAUCAUAUACUUCCAAAUUUCAAUUUGGUUCCCUGUUUAUAUCACAAUCUGUCCUAUAUCCUCUUAAUACAUCUAAAAUCUCUCUAUAUCAUAAAAAUAAUGAUGGAAAAAAAAAUUAAAAAGAAAGAAGGAAAAAAUGACAAAAAAAAAAAAACCUUGGUGCUGCUAUGGGUCCAUAGGAAUUGGCAGGACUGCACUUCUGGAUCCCCUUCCAUGGCCAAAAGAAAAGAAUGAUCUUCGGAAUCUGCUGCUGCAACCUUCACUAGGGCUGAAGUCACUGACAGGCCUGUUCUGUUGCAAAAUCUCUUGAAUUGCUAAAUACAGCUGCCUGUCGUUGGAUGAGUCCAUUGAAAAAGACCUCCUGAUGGGUUGGAUUGAGAACUGAUCAUCUUUGCCUCUAGUGUCAAUGCACUCAUCACCCAUGCUUGCAACAUGAUGAAACUUCCUUGCCUUUUUAGGCACAAUUCUCUGCUCUAGCUUCCUAGGUGAUGGACUAAUUGAUGGCGCAGAUAACUCUCUGGAAUUCAGUCUUUCUGGUGGCCUAAGCAGUGAUGAAUCAGCAGAACUAUCAUUUCCCAAUUCAAUUACUACAAAAUCUUCAUCCCCUCCUAUGUAAUUAUUGGCGUAGGGGCUUGGAUCUUGGGGGGAAGAGCUAGGAGCAAUGAUUUGGUGAACAGGAAACCGGGGUGUGGUUGAAAUGCUUGUUCUGCAAAGUGGGCAAUUAGCAUUGCUUUGAAGCCACACGUCUAUGCAAUCUAUAUGAAAUAUGUGACUGCAGUUUGGUAUGAUUCUUAGCUUCUCUUCUUCUUGAAACUCAUUCAAGCAAACCGCACACUCGCAAUGGCUUCUUUCUCCAAACUCUCUGCCACCUCCUUUCCUGAACUGGAAUAUUGGGAUUGAUCUGAUGACUGACUCGUCCAGGCCUCGACUCUCGAUUGCUGGGGAGUACACCAUUAAAGGGUCUUCCGGGUGCCGACUCCUUGAGAAAGAAAAUCGUCUCAGCAGAUCAAUCCGGUGCCAAUUGAGGCAGCAUUUGAUUACAAAGAUGUAGUAGCUCACCAGCAAGAAAGCAGUGGCCAGGAUUCCUAUUACGGCAAUGGCUAUAAUGGGGAAACUGGUGUCCGAGGAAUGAGAGGGAGAAGGAAGCACUGAGCUCGCCUGGCUUUUGAUGGGAGAAAAGGCUUGUGAUCCAUGGAUGGAGGAGUCUGUGCUCACAAGAUCCAUGAGAGAGGCUAUGAAAAACAUUUAGAAAUGAGUCUAUUCGGAUCUUCAAUUCACAGAAACAUGCAAAUGCUAGAAUAAAAUCGACAGACACUCAGAUAUAGACCCUACAGUUGUAAUGCAGCAUACCAUAAAUGUGAUUGAGUGAGUGAGGCUGAAACAGCAAAUGGGUCACUUCAAGAUCUCAACAAGACAGAAAACCCAUGUUGAAUUCACCAGGAGAGUAUUGAAAAGGGAAAAAUUAAGGACAUAUAGCUGUAUUGAAAGUUGAAACAAAUGCAGAAACAUAGAGAAGAGAGAGAGAGGGAGAAAACCCAGGAGGGUUGAAUGAGAGCGCUGCUGGGGAAGACAUCAAAACGCUUCAAAUUCAAUGAGAAUCUGUUGGGGACCUCUUUAAGAGGACUGCACAAAGCCUGAGCGUAGGGUACGUGGUUGGUUGGUGAAUUUCUCGGCUUCCAAAAGAGAAAUUUGGUGAGAAAAUUUUCAAGUCUCUUGAUUAUAGUAACGUAGCGUUUAUUUUAAUUUUAUGUAACCGAAACUAAUGGGCUGGUUCAAAAAAAUAAAAAAUAAAAAAAGGAACUUUCUAGGAUAGGCCAGCAGUCCACCGUUGGUCAUGUGGUUUCUUUUGCAUGUCCACAUCUUCCAACUAGUGGAGGUCCCUGUCACAACAGUAAGAAAACACCCAAUUGAAUAAAAGUAUGAACUUUUGGCUCCCAAUAUUACUUAUGCCCUCAUUCAAUACCUCAAAUAAAGCAGAGAUUUUGUGUCCCAACUUUUAUGAUUUCAUUUCAUCUUACUUCAAAUGCUAAUGACAAAAGUCCAAGUAUAUUCUGUAAUCACCCACACCCCAAUAGUUUUGAAUCACACUUGAAAUAGUUCCCAUGCUUUCUUAAUAAUUUAGAUAAUUAUUUACAGAAAAAAAAAUUCAGAACAGGAUGAUAAUCAUUUUGUGAUAGCAUGGAAGAAACUUUACUAGCCACUUUGGCCCCAUGAAGUUGAGUACUUGAUGCCAAUUAAUGGCAGGGUGGAAAAUAGAGAAAAGGGAUCAUAGUCAAAUCUAGAGUACAAGGCAUUGAAUCUUUGUUAAUAAUUAACAAAUGGGUAAAGCAUGGGUCACAGGGUCUACAGUUUGGAUUGCAAAAACCUCAGGCUUCUAUAAAAAGCUCAUCCAUUAUCAAUCAUCAAUCUGAAAGCCAGAAAGUCCAAGGCACAUGCAACCCACGACAGGGGUAAGAUUUCUGCAUCAUGUCCCUGAGUUGCAUUCACAUCAUAUGUUUCCCUCCGGGCCGUUCCAAUUUGAAAUCUCAUGGAAAUCUUCAAGAGCAAGGCUACAGAGUUUAAGAUAAUACUAGGGGUGGGUCCUGAUGGGAAAAGAGGUAGUGUAGGAUAGUCAAUAAAGGGCAUGUGUCUCUGGUGUGAAGUCAAAUCCAGUGUACCAUCCUCAAUGGAAAAUUUAGAAAUAGAACCGACACUCUACAGACUGCCGUGUUGACAGAUUAGAGAAAGACAAACCCACUUACACUUGCCUCAAAACCCAGUCCUGCCAUUUCAAAGGCAAAAAAAAAGGGUUUCUUUUUAUAGUCAAAGGUUGAGGCCUGGCCUGGCCUAGCAAAGAAACUUCACCUACUCUUUUCUUAUUUUUCAAAUUAAGGCCAUUCAACUUUUCCUGUUUGCAGGCUUGCUGCCAUAUCUUACUCCAAAAAAGGUGAAAACCCAAAAGAAAAAGAGUGUUUGCUUCAAUGGAAAACUCAUGUUUAAUAAAUUCACCGCACGAGUUUUGUUCCAGCUUUUCCUAUGAAAGCUGUGAUGCGUUUGGUAUGAAGUUGAUUUUGUUCCUAAAAAUUUUGAUCUUGGCGUGGAAGGCAACUUUUUCCUUUUCCCCCUUUUUCUUUUUGAAAAGUUCGGCAUUAGUUACCAAAUGUCCUUUUACUUGCAUGUAGGACAGCGGAAGCAUUACACAUCGCAGCAAAAUCCCAUUUACCCGAAUUUUCCACUAACUCUUUUUAUUUUUUACCAUCAUUUUUUAAUAGAAGUGAUGCACUCUUCAAAUUACAUGAAGCUUUUAAGAAGGUAAUAACCCGUUUCAAAGCGAACUUAACCUACAGAGUAUGUUUUAAAAAUAUUUAGGUAUUUGAUAAAAUUUAAAAAAUAUUUUUUAAAAUCUUUAAAAUGAUUUGUAAUAUUGAAAAUUUAUUUAUACUUUUUUUAAUAAAAAAACAUUUUAUAGGUAAUUUUUCUAAAAUACUUUUAGAGAAAAUGUCUUCCCUUCACUAUAAAUAUUAUAUACUAUCAAAUACACUUUAAAAAUCUGUUUAACAAUAAUUUUAUAAAGUGUUUUUAAUUUUAAAAAUAUUUUUAAAAACAAAUUAAAUUUUUGAUAAAAUUUAAAAAAUCUUUUUAAAAAUUUUGAAAAAUAUCUCGUAAUAUUAAAAAAUAUAUAUAUUUAUAAUGUUUUUUAUAUAAAUACUCAAAAUUCAUUUAAUAGUGAUUUUAGGAAAUGUUUUUAAUAUUUCUAAUACUUGAAAAUUUUUUAUCAUUUAAGUAUUAAAAAUAUUAAAAACACUUUAUAAAAUCACUUUCAAAUGGACUCUUAAUGAUUUUACUAAAAACACUUUUCAUAGAAAACAUUUAUAAAAAAUAAUUAUGAAAUACACUCUAAAUUAAGUAAAAGUUGUUUUUAACAUUACCACUAUUUAUUAAUAGUGCAUUUGUUUAAAAUAUUUAUAUGAAAAAUUCAUUAGGGUGGGAUAUAAAUAUAGAAGUGUUUUUCUUUAUAUAUUUUUUAUAAUAAAAAAUGAUUUUUGAAAUUAUAAAAUUUGAAUUUAAGAAUCAUUUGAUAAUAAUUUUUGUUAAAGCACCUUUAAUACGUGGUGCUUCUAUUGAUAGCGCUUUCAUUUCUAUGAAUGGCUAUAAAUUAUAUUUGAAUAAAUUUUUUAUAAUGUAUUAUAUAAUAAAAAAAAAGUCAUUUUUAAAAAAAUUAUACAUUAAAUGAUUAUUCAAAUAGUAUUUCCUAAAUUUUAUUAAACAUUUUUUUCAAAAAAAAAAAAAAAGUUUUCAAAUACUAGAAAACGUUUUUAAUCUCUCACACGAUCACAUCCAAACAAGUCCUAAUGCUACUCCUAGAAACACUCCAAAACAAAAGUCUUCCUCUAUUAAUGUUCAUAAAAUCCACAUAUAUUCUUCCAUCGUUUUUUCAAAAUUCAAAAUCAUUUCUAAAACAUCAAAUCAUGUUCUUUGGAUUGGCUGACUUGUUUUUUGAAAAUAGAAGGCUCAUUAUUGACGUCCGUUGACUUCAUAACCCAGUCUUGAUCUCUUGAUGGAGGGCAUAAAUGUAAAUUGGACGAAACCCUAGGGUGCGCUAGAGUGUAGAGGAUGAAAGGUUGGAAAAAGGAUGAGGUGGGGGUGUAAUAAAGAGGAGGGUUGGGAGAAUGGGACAUGUGUAGGUGAAGCAUUAAAUUCAAGACUAUGCUUACCAACAACAUAUAAAUAAAUAAAUAAAUAAAUAUAGGAACAGCACAUGGGGUGAGUAGGAGACAUCAGAAGAUGUGAACAACCCCUUGUCAGUCCAAUUUGCGUCUUUUAUCUACUCUAUUAUCUAUAUCGAUUUUCGUAUUUAUUUAUUUAUUUAUUUAUUUUUACCAUUUGAUUUUGCAUGGAUGUCGAAGGGUUUAUUGGCUGCCACGUGUAGGGUUAUGGUCAAGAUCACGUGGGGUGCCUACAUGGGAGUCACGUGAGUGCAUGAGGCAGGCUUGAAUUGCAGGAGGAGCAGGAGCAGAGCAGUGGCUGUUGUCUUAAGACUUUGCUCUCUUGGUGGAACUGCAGCUUAAGCAGCAUCCACGUGUUGUCACGUGCAAUGCGAGCCAUCCACACCACCAGUUUCUUUUUAGUGAUUUUCUAAAGUCAGUUAAGGUUGCAGUCAAUACCUUCAAAUGUUGACAGAGUUAGGGAUCUUUGUUAAAUGGAUUUUAUUAAGAUAUUAGUAAGUUAAUUAAUUGAGGGUCAACAUAACAGAUGGGUCGGGUUGGGUUGAAUCUGAAUUUAAAACGAUUUAAUUUAUGUUUAAUCAAAUUUAACAUUUAACUCGAAGCACUCAACUUAAGUUUAAUUGAAUCUUAGUUUUCAAAACAUUAUUUAAAUUUGGGUCAUUUGGAUUAAAGUCAAAUGGGUUAGAUUAAUCGGGUUAUAUGGUUCAAAAUCCACUUACCUUAUUUUUUAUACAUUAAUAUUAAAAUUUAAAUAAAAAAUAUUAGAAGAAAUUUCAAACUUGGGAUUAGUUGAUUGUAGCCAUGCAUUUGGAUGUUGGUAUUCUUGUUUCUUGUCUUGUUUCCAAAUACCCUUUCAAAUCGCUUUGUUAUUCAAUAGCAUCCUCCCGAUCAUUUAAAAAUUUAAAGAGCAUUGGUAUGAUGGAGGAAUUCAGAAAUUUUAGUUGAAUAAGUAAAAUUUUUCUCUCAUAAAACCAAAUAGCCUCUAUAGCUCAGUGGUAGAGCGUCAGUCUUGUAAACUGAAGGUCUGUAGUUCGAUCCUGCAUGGAGGCAACUUUUUAUAUUUCAUGAUCCAUUAUGCUCUAGUGAUUUAGUUUUCAUUAUAAUUUUAGAUUAAAAAAUUACAUCAACAUUUGAUAAGUUGGUUAUGACUUUGAUAUAAGGAUGAAACUAUCAAUAAUAUAUAUAAAUAUUUUGACACAAAAUAUCUAAUAUAUUAAAAAAUUAAAAAAAAACUCUAAAAAACAUUAUAAAAUUAUAUAUAUAAUUUAUCAUAUUUAAUAAUAAUAUCUUCUACCCUAAUAAAAAAUAUAAAUUUUAUAAGCAUACAUUUAUUAUUACAUUGUAUUAUAUAUUAUUUUACAAGAAUAUUAUGAUAACAUGUCUAAUUUUAAAAUAUAUUUAAUAUUAAAAUUAUCAUCAAUUUUAAUUUAAAUGUAUUUAAUGAUAUCAAAUAAUAUAUAUAUAUAUAAUUUUUUAAUAUUUAUAUAUUUUUAUAUUUAAUAAAUAUAUAAAUUAUGUAAAAAAAAAAGACCUAUUAAGAAGAUUAUGUUUUUAUAUUUGGAUCAAAAUUAAGUUUUUCCGAUAAAAUAUAUGAAACUAUUGAUAAAUUAUUGAUUGAAACGUGAAAAAAAAAAUUCAAAAAAUAGAUGAGAUAUUAGUAAAAUAUCCGAAAAUAUUGAUUGAUGAAUAUAUCAUUUCAAAUUUUGCAUCAACAUCCACAUAUGUUGGAUAUAUUGGCCAAAUAUAUUUAAACCUUGUUUCCAUGAGAAGUCUUUCCUUCAACAAUUUCAAAAGGUUAAUGAGGUGGUUUCCAAGAGAUGUGUGUAGGGGUCUCCAACGGGCGGGCCGGGCCAGCGGGCUUUUUGAAAUAAGCCAAAAUGGCUUUCAAAAAAGGGAAGGGAGAGGAUUUAAACCCCUUCCUUCAUGCUUAAAUUUCAAGGUUCUAACCAAUUGAACUACAUUCCUUUAAUGUUUAUUAAUUGAGUUAGUUAUAUAUAUAUAUAAAAAUAAAGUAUAUUAUUUUUUAAAGGGGCGGGCCUACGGGCUGGGCCGGGCCGAAAGCGGGCCACGGGCCACGGGCUUUUUGGAGACCCUUGGAUGUGUGCAAUCACAUUUGGUAUUAUAGGUGACAAAGUUUGAUAAAUGAGUAAUUAUUAGGUUAACUUAUAAAAUCCGAAUUUGAUUUAAAUUGAUUCAUUUAAUAAUCCCAUUUAUUUACCCAAUUAAAACUUUAAAUUAUUUAACUUAUAUUUAAUUUAAUUAAAAUUUGUUUUUAAAUAAAUAGAUCAAUUAAAACAUAAACAUAUUUGAUUGAAACAUUAAUAAUAUAGAUUUAAAUAAGACCUAAUUCAACCUAACGAUCAAAUAGAAAUAUCUAAUUAUUAAAUAAAUUAAACAUGUUACUUGCUUAAUAAUUAUGUGACAUUUGAAUUUAUGCUUUUGAUAUAAUUAUUAUUUAUAUCAGGUUUAUAUAAUGAAAUAUCUAGACUUUGACACCAGUCAACAUUGUCCACCAAUACAGAUUGCAACUCUUAUAUGCUACAUCACAUCAUGUUGAAGGAAGAGGAUGACGUUCAUUGGCAGCAGAGCCUCCAAUCAUAAGGAGCUUGAGCAAAUUCAAUCUCAACACUGAAAUUCACUAGAAAAAAAGUUUAUUAUUGAUACUUCAUUUGUGUAAAAGCAUUAUAUUUCUUGCAUCAAUCGUAAAGCAUGACAUUCCAGUAGGUACGGAAGAGAAAAUUUGUUAUGAAUUGAAAAAUCUGUCAAGCUUAAUUUGGAGGGCCCAAAAUUGACACGUUUAAGAGCUCUAUCAUUAGCCCAAUGAUAAGAGUCCAUUUCUUGAGUUUCAAGGAAGGCCCAAGUUUAACUUAGAGGGCCCAAUCUUGGUACCUUCUAAAAGGUGCAAACUUUGGCCCAAUUAUAAAAGCUUAUCCUUGCUUCCUAAGCAUCAAUGAUAUAUUUGAUCGAAGUAUUCACAUAACUAUCACGAAAUGAAAUGAAAUGAAAAUGUAUAAGUAAAUGAUGAUUUUGAGUUAUUUACUGACAAUAAAGAAUUAGGUGGUGUUUGUUUUUUUUUUUUUGGCUUUUUACUAAAAGCAAUUUGUUUUCAGAAUUUAGGUUAUUUAUUUUUCUAUUUUUUCAUGACUUAUUAUAAACUUUUUACUAAAUAAGAAAAUCCAAAAUAUAUAGUUUUUUCUAAAUAGAAAAAAUAACAUAUUGGUUUUCUUUUUUUUUUACUUUUUAAUAUUUAAUAGAAAUAAAAUAUUAUAAAAACAAACAACCUAAUAUUUAACACUAUUAAGUAUUAAGGUUUUAUUUAGAAUUAAGUAAAAAAACAAACACUACCUUAAAAUGAAAAGUAUGUAUAAUGACCUUAUACAAAAAAAGUCUCAUUAUUUUCUUCCAAAGAACUCAUACUUUUGUUUUUCAACUAUUACUUUGUUUUUAUUUUUUAAAUAAUAUUUCAAGUUUUUUUUAAUAAUACCUUUCUCUUUAUUAGAUAAUUUUAAUGACUUUAAAAGUAUUUUAAUAUAUUAAUUUAUUAUAUAAUUUUAAUGAUUUAAAAAUAUUUAAAUGUUGAAAUAUUUAUUUUCAAGUCUAAUUUUAAUUAUUUAUUUUUUGAAGUAUUUAAAUAUAUAAUAAAUGUGGGAUUAUGUAAAUCUAGUUGUAAUUAUUUAUUUCAUUCUAUUCAUGUUUUUAGUUGAAUUUGCUCAAAAUUUACACCUCUUUAUUUAAAGAUCAUGGAUUAGUUAGGUGUCUUGAGAUUUUUUUUCUCUCAAGACACUACUUGUUACACUAGAAAAUAAUUUGUGGCUAUAUUUUUUAGGCAAAAAGAAUUAUAUGUUAAAACUUCCUUUAUUGACUAGUUUAUCAUAGGGUGUAGAGGAAAGUUUGUGAUGUCUUUUUAUGUCAACUUUGGGAGAAAAAUAUCACUUUAGCAUUUUCCUUAGAAAAUUUUCAUACAUAAUUGAUUUUGGAACUAUGGAGGAGCAUAAGUAGGGAUAGAUAAUUCGAUUUUGGAAAAAUUAUAAUAGCUUUUCAACUUGGUGUUAAUGAUAUAUUGUUUAUUUCUUAUUUUUUUUCCAUUUUAAUAUAUAAUUGGGGAUUUUAAACUUGUAGAACAAGGCUUUUUCAAUUGAAUUGACACGUACAUAUGAAAGUUCUCUUUGGUUGCUAAUCACAUUUUUUUUUCUUUUGCUUUUUGUUUUUAUCAUAAUGAAUAUUGAACUCGAAAUUCAGUUUUUAAAAUCUUAUGAUGUUUUAAAGUUUAUAAAUAUUAUUGAUUUUUAUAAAUGAUGUUAUUCAUAUCUUGGUAAAGACAAUAUUUUCAUAUCGGUCAAGAUGAUUAAUAACAUAUAAGUUCAUAAAGAAAAACCUAUUGAUUAAUGGAUAUUUAAUGAUUUUUAUUAGGAAUGUUUUUUAAUUAGUUUCAAUACUCAUCUUUUAGAGCAUACAUAUAGGGUUUUAGAUGCUACAUUGGUUUUCAGCUUGUGAUUUAAAUUAUUGAAGCAAAAAAUGAGGGUUUUGCUUUAUGGAACUAUCUAAAGGGAGGUGAAUUAGGCGGUCUUCCUUUUUAAAAUCCAAAAAUUAGAUUUUUAAUACUUAUAUUAGUUAUACAUGUGUUCAAUAAUUAAAACAAAGAACAAGUCCAUAAUUUACAUGUGAUGUGCAUGGAAAAACACCUACAAAUUCUCUCAAAUACUUUACAAAUGAAAAAAAAAUCAAGGAUCGAUCAAUCACAGAGCAACUUCACUAAAUAUGAAAACAUGACUAUACAAUUUUACUUGGAUGAGGUGCUACCUUCUCUUAAGGGUUUUUACACUAGCCAACAAUUACACUCACCUUCACUCUCACCAUGCACCUCUAUUGUGCUCCAUAGUAAACACUUUAAUGACUGUAGCAAGAUUGCGAUAAAUUACUGCGAUUAAUUUGAGAGUGUUGAUAAUGAACAAAAAAUAAUGAUAAUUAACUAGAGAGCAUAUGAUUUUGUAAAAACACCAAAAAGAGGCAUAGUUAUAAGUGAAAACUUUAAUGGAUUGGAUUGAAUAUAUAAUUGAAGUAUGAAUGAAAAAUUACCAAAACAAUGUUCAAAACCGUGCUAAUCAAAGCACAAUCACUUGAGUACUCUCAUGGGGCACUUGAAUGCUCCUUUUAAUCACCGUAAUGCUGAAAUUAAUAAUUUGUCUCAAAUUGUUUUUCCAAAACAUAAAGCAAAAUAUUAUAAAUUUAUAUAAUCAAACCCAAUUUCAUCUUAAAGCUAGCCUACUUAGUCUUAAUUCAUGUCCAAAAAUACUCAUACUUGUCAAAGAAUGAAUAUGGUAUAAACAAAUUCUUUAUUUUCAAUUAUAUUCAAUUAUUGAAAGAAUAAAUCGGUUUACAUACAUUUUGAACAAAGGUAUAUACACAUAGACUAAAUCAAGGAAAUGAGGAAAUCAAUCACAAUCAAAUCAAAAUCAAAUGAUAGGUUGAUAUCUAGGAGAAGGUUAAGUUAGAACCAACUCAUGUAUUCAAUAUUCCCCCUUAAGAUGGCAUAUGGAGAUCAUGAAUAUCAAACCUAGAAAGUAAGGGAUAUGAAAUAUCUAUACCAAGGGAUUUUAUGAAAUAUCAACCAAUUGUUGUUGUGAUUAAACAAAUUGAAUAAGAAUAAUUUCAUUUCGAAUCUUUUCAUAGAUCAAGUGACAAUCAAUUUCAACGUGUUUAUUCUGUUCAUGGAAAAUUAGAUUAAUAGCAAUGUAUAGAGUUGUAUUAUUGUCACAAUAUAGAUGCAUUGACCAAGGAUGAUGAACUCCAAAAUCUAUAAGUAAAUAUUGCAACCAAUGCAAGUAGUAAUCAUUAAAUAAUAUUUCACUUUUCUUCAUGAGUGUUAUAUCAUUGAUUGCUUUUUAGAUCUUCAAGAGAUUGAUAGGCCACCAAGUAAAAUACAAUACCCUAUAAUUGAACAUCAAGAUUAUGCACAAUAGGCAUGGAGGAAGGCAAAAGAAUUCCUUGACCUAGACGAUUUUUUAAAUAGUAUAACACUCAUGUACUUGUGAGAUAAUUGAGACUACAUUGGCUUGUCAAGAAUUUGAACAUAAUUAGCAAUAUUAAGCCCUAUCAUUAUGAGUCAAAGUAACUUCCCAAUCAAAUGCCUAUAAUAAGAAGCAUCCAACAAAGGUUCUCUAUCUAAUUUACUCAAUUCCAAAUUUUGUUUCCUAGGAGUUUUUAAAGUUACAUGUUCCAAGAAAACCAAAAUCUUUUAGUACUUCUAGAGCAUGUUUUCAAUAACUUAAAUAAAUCUCAUUCUUAAAAUAUGUCAUUUCAAUGAUGAUGAAGUACUUUAAUUUUCCAAUCUCUUAGUUAGUUUGAAAAUGCUAUAUAGGUUUUCCUUGACCACCUUAAUUCCUUUAAGAUCAUUCAUUGUAAUAAUUAUAUCAUAAAUGUAAACAAGAAUGAUUGUGAAAUAGUUAUUUGAGGCUUGAGCAAAUAAGAAGUAAUAUGUACGUCUUGGCUUGCUUGUAAACCAUAAACAUCAAUGUGAUAGAUAAUUUGGCAAACCAUCAACGUGAAGCUUGCUCAAGGCCAUAAAGGGAUUUUUUAACUUUGCAAAUCAUAUUUUUGGUUCUAGAUUUCCUACAAACUUGGUGGAAGCUGCAUGUAUACCUCUUUAUCUAAGUCUUCAUAAAGAAAAACAUCGUUGAUGUCAAGUUGGUGAAGAUGUCAAAUUCUAAUUAUACAAUAAUUAGGGGUGACAAUGUGUCUUAUCGUGUUGAGGUGAGAAAUAGUGAAAAUUUACUUAAUCCGACUAUGACCCGUUUGAUAAUCGUGUCAAAAUAACCUAACAUGAAUACAAUUAGUUUAUUUCAUGUAACAUGACCCUUUUAACAUGUUUAAUAAAUAUAUUAACUUGGAUUAUGUAUUAAUUGACAUGAAUAACUCAUUAACUUGAUUUCAACCCCUUAAACUCAUUAACACAAUUCCAACCCAAUAAACUCGUUAAUAUGAUUUAACUCAUUAAACUUGUUAAUAGGAUUAUAACCUCUUUAACCUAUUUAAAAUUUUAAAUUUAUAAAUAAUAAAAUACUUCUAGAAAGUUUAAUUUUUAAAAUUUGAACUAUAAUACAUGUAUGCACCAAUUUCAUGAAGUCCUGAAAAAUUAGCAAAAUUAUAGAAAAAUAAUAUAAACAAAAAUUUGUAUUAAAAUUAAUAAGUAUGGGCUACAAUAUUAGUCAUAGUACUGCUUAUUUCUGAAUGACUUUAUUAAAAAGCGAAGAAUACAUGUGUAGUUCUUAUGUGAUUUCUUAAACUUGUAAGGCGAUUUUAUAAAGUUUUUUUUUUCUUUGUGAAACCUCUUUUUCUAUGUGAAAUUGUUUUGCCGAUUUGAAAUCUUCAUUAAAGGAAGUUACUAUUAUUUAUAAUUGAAAUUAGAGAAUGAAAUGUGGAAUCCCCAUGAUUUAGUUGCUUAAUUCAAGGAAUUUGAUUAAUUGAUUUUGGUAACUUGUCUCAUAAAAUUUUCUAACAAGAAUAUUUAUUUUUAAUCUCUUUUAUUUCAAUUGGAAUAUUUGUUUCCUUUGUAAAUUUGUCAAUAGAAUAUUUAUUUAUUUAUUUAAUUCUCUUUUGACUACAAUGAGAAGAUUUGAUUUUGUUUGUAAGACUAAAUUUUAUAACCUUUCAAAUUUGGCCAAGUGACACCUUUUGAAUAUAUGUCACAUGUCAAAUGUGUGUGACUCAUUAGUUGUUGAACCUAAAUUUUCUUGAAUUAGAAAGCUAUACUUUUGAAGACUAAUUUAGUGAUAAUUUAAUUCAUUAAAUUUUUUUGGUGUCUACAGUAUAUUUAUAAUAUGAAAAGUAAAUUAAAAUUUUAAUUUUUUUACUUGUUUAUUAUUUUAUUUAUUAUUUAAUGAUAAAUAUUUUUAUUCUUUAUUGAAAUAUAUAAAAUUUUAAUUAAUAUUUUAAUUUUUUUAAUUUCUAUAUAUAAAAUAUAUAGAUUUAUAUGGUCUAAUUGAGUCAUUAAAAUAAAUAGGGUAAAUAACUCACACAUAAGUGAUGGAUCAUUCUAACAUGAUUAAAUUAACAAGUUAGAUGAAUUGAGUAGUCAAAUACAAACAUGAUUUGUUUAUUAAAUAAGUUAUAUGAAUUGAUACGAUUAUGACAUCAACUCAAUUAAACUUAACUCAAAUAAGCUUUGUCUUUUAUUUUAAGUUGUCUAGUUGUUCACACAAAUUUUCUCAAAAUAAAGAAAUUAUAUAUAAAAUUGUAAAUUUGAUUAUUUGAGGGGACCAUUUUCAAUACUCUUUUUUAAGUAAUCUGGUGUUUAAUUUUGAAUCAAAGGGGCUUUCAUUAACAAAUAAUAGACUGUAGUUUUCAUAUAAGAAGAAAUCUCAAGCCUUUUUUUCUUGAAGGAAUCUUUAAAUUUUCUUUGAUACUUUAAAAAAUCAAUCUUCUUUGAUUUUUUAAGAAAUCUUUGAAUUUUCUUAAAGUCUUCAAAAAAAAAAAAAAAAAAAAAACUGAGUUUAAGGAAUUUUUUUAAUAACUCUCCAAAUUUCUUUGAUAUUCCAAAGUGUCCUUUAGAAGGGGACAAAUCCUCUAUUUACAGGAUUGAGAGUUUUAUUUUAAUAUUAUCUCUUAAUUUUUAAGAAAUAACUCUCUUAUUUAUGAUAAUUACUAUUUAUUUUAUUUAUCAUAAUUAGUUGCCUAUGAUAAUUAUCAUAAUUAAUUUUUCUAGAGAUAAAUAAUUAUAUAUAUUUAAUUAAUCAUGAUAACUAUAAUAUUUAUUUAAUUUUUUAUUAAAUUAUUUUACAUAACAUAUCAAUAUAUAUUAUUAGUCAAUUAUUAACACCGAAAAUUAAUGAGUUGGCAUAAAAUUUAUCUCUCUAUAAUAGUAUCAAAGCGAGCCUUAAUAAUAACAUUGCUUAUAGUCAAUUUCACAUGCCAACUUUUUACUGGGCAUUGGCGAUUUCAAUUUUGAUAGUCCGGUUAGAAAAAGUAGGUAAAGAUUAUUUGAUGUGGUAGGUCAUUUCUUUCAUAAAGACGAUGGCGGUGAAUUCAUGAGACAGGUGAUAAAGGAGAGAUUCUUUCUUUUGGCUUUGGAAUUUUAAUGAGGUCCUCGAUCCUCAUCCAAAAUACACCUCUCCAAUUAUAAAAAUCUUAUUAAAAAAAAAAAGAUUUGACAUGUGCCUUUCGAACUGCUGGUUUUCUGUUCCAAAAAUGAGAAUGGUUUCAAGUGGAUGAAGGAAGGUGAAGAACCCUUGGUUUUGUUAAGCGAAAAGCCACAUGAUUAAAUAAACAUAAGGCGGCAAAGGCUGAAAAUUUAAAAUUAUACUAAGGAACCCACCCCACAGGGCGACUACACUUUUGGUGAAGCCACGAGAAUGAAAGAUAUCGAAGGUGACACCAAGACAUUAAGCAGCACCAAGGUUUCGAUAUAUUAUAAGAUGGGAUCUUAUGAAAGACGAUCUCUAAUCUCUCUCCAAUCUCUUCUUUAACCUUUUCUUACUUAAAUCCAUUUCCAUGGUAGGGCACAUGUCCAGCUGACCCUACCCCCUCACCUACCUAUACUGCUAUACCCUUUUGUAUAAUUUGAUAUGGAUUGGAAGCCACCCCAACAUCUUUCUAAUUGCUCGUAAAUGUUGAGGUGCCUUUCCAUUUUGAGGCUGCCCUAAUGUGUGGCUGAAGUACGUAGGAAAAAAAAAUUGUGAUACAUGCACUGACGAAUCAAAUCCCAAUGUCAAAUUAUUAGACUCACCUGGUUCUUAAAUUAUUGUGAAUGCCGCUGGCCAUGGAUAAAUGGAAUUAGUGCGUGGCUUAAUGAAAAUUUAUUUUGAAAGGGAUAUUAAUUUGAGAGAAUUUUGGCUGAUACUUGGAGUUGAACGUAAGCAUAUAUGACCUCAUUUCGGGUGUGAUAUUGUGCUUAUAACGAACCUUUCGUUCUUUCCAAUUCCAGUGGGUAUUAAAUAAUUAAAGAAUUCAUGGUUCGAAGGCGAAAGGUAGAAGACCAAAAAGGGAUUACAAAGCCAUCGGCUUGACCAUCCAGAUGCAAUGGAUACAAACUUUGGACUCUAUCGAAAGUUCUUUGGGCACGUGCCCAAGUGUCCUACCCAUAUGAUAAGUUACACGUGGCUAAUUGCGGACCGGUUGCUCGUGCUAAACAGGGUACUUUUUCUACGCAUAUAAGAUGUUUCACUAGUGGGGCUUCACCAUGCAAACUCAUGGAUGAAGACCCUGAGGCCAAGAUGAAGGAACAGAAAGAAGGCGGAGGAGAGGUUCGGUAUCGAGGCGUUCGGAGGCGGCCAUGGGGGAAGUUUGCUGCGGAGAUACGUGACUCGACUAGGCAUGGAGCGCGCGUCUGGCUCGGGACUUUCAAUUCUGCGGAGGAGGCUGCAAGAGCAUAUGACCGAGCUGCUUAUGCCAUGAGGGGUUCCUUGGCGAUUCUCAACUUCCCUAAUGAGUAUCAUACACCCGGCACGGCUAGCUCUUCAGCUUCAUCCUCAAUGCCCGAAGGUGAUCAGCAGGGAAAACAAGUCAUUGAAUUGGAGUACUUGGAUGAUAAGCUGCUAGAGGAUCUUCUCGACUCUGAAGACAAAAAGAACAAGAAAACCUGAAGUUUCUGCUGCCUCGAAUCCCCUGAAAUCUAGUGCUUCAUCGAAAAAAAAUCCCCUCGCUCCUGAUUAACAACAUUUUUAUUUUAGUCAAUGAAUGUGUUCUCGGAUCAUUAUAAGUAUUUCUGCCGAAGUCCAUUGAUUUUUGGAGACUGAAAAAUGUCAGAAAAAUUGGUGCGAACAGGUUUACUCCUUUCUAAAUUAUGCAAUUGAAGUAUUUGGAUUAGUGCGCAGUGUAAACAUCAAGGAAAGCAUGAUCCACUAUUUUAAGGAGCCUAAGUGCUUUCCCCUUUACUCUUUUAGGAUGUCUUUUCAGUGAAGAAAGUUGGGAGACCACCACUUACCCUUUUGAUUGGUAUAUAACUGCCAACUAAUAACUGGACUAACAUUUGGCCCGUCUGGCCCUACUUCUUUGACUUUGUUGUUAAUUUAUAACUUUAUGUGAAGUGGGGGCUGUUUGGGAAUGUGUGAAGCAAGGAUUUGAGCCGACUUCGCCUAAUCUGAUUCUCCAUAAGUGACUUCAUUUUAUCAUAUUGGUGUUUUUUUUCUUCUUCUUUUUAAAUGGCUGGGGAGGAGGGGAUUUGGGAGGGAUGCAAUGCCAUGGUUGCAUGCUGGAUUAUCCUUCCAAAUGAAACAUCCAUUUGGUUUCUAGUAACUAAUUGCAAACAAUUAAAGAGAAUAAAAUUUUAAGAUGAUUAAACAAUAAGUACCUAUGUCCAUGAAAAGGAGAGAAGUUCACUCAUGGGUGUUCAUGAAAGACAUCACAAAGAACCAUCAAUAUGAGAAGAAUCCUGAUACAAUUAACUUUCAUGCAUAAGAAAAGACGCUCAAAAAAGAAUAAUGCUUACAAGGAAAGAAUCUCACUACGAUCAACUGAAAAAAUAUUCCAAUUUAAUUGGAAAUCCUUACAUGGGAAGAAUAUCAAUAAAAUCAACUAAAAAAAUAUUUUAAUUUUAUAUCAAAAUAUUUGUGAUUUAACCCGUAUCAUUUCAUCAUGACUUCUUAUAAAUUUUGUUCCUUUUUAUCAACACCACCCCUUGAGUUGGAGCAUAAAUAUUUAUUAAGCUAACUUGAACAAGAUCUUGAGAAAUUUUGUCGCAGGAUUUGUUUGCACUUUUUUUUUUCAAAUAAAGUCAUAAUUAACUUUAAUAUGUUUAAUCAUUUCAUGAAAUACUAGAUUUUAAGCAAUGUUGAUAGCAUACUUAUGCCUGAAAGCUUUAUCCCAAAUCACAUGAGUACAUGAAGUGAUUGCAUCAUUAAUGGUAGUAUUAUUACUUUAUAUUCAACUUCUCCACUUGAUAGGAUGCAUGAAAGCAUUGUGCUUUCUUCUGUUUCAAGUAAUAAAGAUUAUCACCAAGAAAGGUGCAAUUAAUACCUAGUAACAGAGUACCUAGUGGUAGCAUGCACCUAUCCACUGAACUUGUACUCGACUCUAUGAGUGUACGUUACAUAGUCCUUUUUUCGAAGUCUAAAUGUCCCUUGAUAAAACCUUCUAAUAUUUGAGGUUUUGGUAACAUUCAUGUAUCAAUGAACAAAUUAAUUUACUAGCUAAACUUUAAAAUUAGGCAAUGUUUUUCAAUGGGUGAUCAAGAUCUUGGAAUUUUCAAUGUUGUUUGAAUAGCUUCCACACACAAGCAUAUUUUCUCCUAUUUAGGAAUAAUCCCUUUUUUGAAGGUGUGAUCUUUAUGCUCAAAAAAUAAAGAUACUCAAAAAUUUAAUAUUGACCUUCUCGUGAAGGAAAAGCUUUAUAACUAAUUUUUUUUGUGCAUUAUAUAUAUCCUCAAUAUAGACUUUAAAAAAAAAAGAAGUAACUCCCUCUACAAAGAGUGAAGAGUCAAUUAAACUUUUUUUUUUUUAAAAAAAAGGAACCAAUUACUCGUAAAAGUAAUGAUUAUUUUUACAUACCAAACUUGAGGAGAUUACUUAAGAUCACAAAAGUUUUUAUUAAAUUGCAAGCUAGAUGCAUUUGAAACGAUCGUUGAUGUCUUAGCAACACCUUAUGUAACUCAUCAAUCUUUAUGUAAAAAUGCAUUUUUAACACCCAUAUAAAAUAAUGAUCAAUCCUAAUUUAAUAGAAACAAAUGGUAAUACAUGAAUAUCAUUCAUAUUAAUGAGAAAAGUAAAUAUUGAUUUAUAAUCAACUUCUUAAGUUUGUGUCAAUGCCUUAAUCAUUAGUUUAACUUUGUCAUUCAAUGAUACCAUCAUUACGACAUUUAAUUAACUUAGAUUUGCGUAAAUCCCUUAAUCACUAGUCUAGCUUUAUGUCAUUCAAUGGUACCAUCAUUAUGGUAUUUAAUUGAUCUUAUACCCCCAAUUUGUAUACCCCAUGUUUUUCUUAAUUUACCAUACAUCACUUAACAAUGUUCCAUGCAUGGAUUUUGUUAAGUGCCUUAAGUUCCUUUUGCAUAGCCUUUCUCCAAAUUGGAUGAGGAUUGGCUUCAUUAAUGUCAUUAGACUCAUGAUAUAUGGAACUCAAACAAUUGUUAAGUGAUUUUGUAUAUAUAUAAAAAAAAAAUUGUAAUUAAUGUGGUAGGCAUAAAAAUCUCACAAAUGAGGAUUGAUUAAUUGUUAUAAUUGAGCAACAUGCUUGAGGCUUAGUCACAAUACUAGAACUUGAAGUCAGACAUUCUCUUCAAAUAAGGACGUAUAUACAUUAUAUUGGAUCUCCAUUAAACAAGUAAAGAACUAUUUAGUAGACAAUGAAACCUCAUUGAUCAAUGGUGGUAGAGAGACACAUGAUGACCAGACUAUUCCCCUGGAAAUGAGAAUAAAAAAUAUCAUUAGCCGCAAAAAUCUCAAAAAAAUUUAGAUAAUGGGAUAUAAAGAGUUUAUGAAUUUUACAAUCAUAACUCUUAUACUGGUUUAAGUGGUAGAGUAAUCAAGAACACAAAACGAGUUUGAUGAGUGGUUGAGAUAUGAACAAAGCAAAGAUUUCCAAAGACACCAAAAUCAGAAAUCUCAAUUUUUGGGCUAAGGAUUUCAAGAAGAAAUUUAAAAUUAACUACAUGACUAGAAAAUUUGUUCAUCAAGGAAAUAGAAGUAACGAUAUCAUAACAUCAUAAUUAAUCAAUAUUUUUAAUAACAUGCAUUUGGAACAUGAUAUACCGGCUUUCUAAUAAUCAAUGAUUUUUGGUUCAACCACACCAUUUUGUUUUGGGAUGCCAAUACAACAAGUUUAACGAANNNNNNNNNNNNNNNNNNNNNNNNNNNNNNNNNNNNNNNNNNNNNNNNNNNNNNNNNNNNNNNNNNNNNNNNNNNNNNNNNNNNNNNNNNNNNNNNNNNNAUGUAAGUGCCAAAUUAGGUAGUGUCGACAAUGAAAUGGAAAUUUUGGAAUAUAGAAACAACCUCAUUUUUAUGUUCUAAUAAGUAAACCUAUGUAGCAUAAGAAUAGUCAUUAAAAAAAAAGGUAACAAAAUGUUGAUUUCCAUCCUAUGGAUCAAUUAGGACACAACCCCAAGGUAAACUAAUUUGAAAGUUGCAACAAAAAUGGAAAGAGAUGAAAAAAUAAUAGAGGAAUUUAAGGUUGUUUCAAAAUUUCAAGACAUGCUAAGAAACACAUGAGAUUAUAGAUGAUUAGGUAACAACCUUGGUUAAGUAUAUUCAACAUAUAUAUCCCACGAGGAUAAAUAUCUUCACUAAACUUUUCCUAUUAUUCAAUCCCCUAAUACCAUACAAGUGAAAAAUUAAUGUCACGGUCAAAAAUUUUAAUAAGCUUCCAAAGAGAUAAUAAUUUUGGGGAAAAAAACAACCUAAGAAACCUAUGAAUUGAGAUAAUUUAGGAAAAAACUAAAUGUUCGUUAGCUCUAGAAGGGAAUUGAAGCUCAUCAUCAAUAAAGAUUGUUGCUAUCUCGAAUAAUAUCAAGUAAACCAUUAAGAUCGCUAUUAAUGGUAUGAUUAGCAGCACCAAUUAUCGACAAAAAAAUUAUUAAAAAUAUAAGAAAUGAGAGCUUUAAGAUUAUCUAAUUGAUUUGUAAACCUAGGUAAGUGAAUCAGUAUUACGUUUUGUUAAGGAAGCUUAGAUCCAAUUGGUAUCAUUCACCAAGUUAUUGGAUUAAAUUACACUAUCAAACUUUGGCUUUAAAUGAGAAUGAAGAAUCUAACCACAAUCCUUAUUGGGAUUAGAUAUGUUAUUGCAAUAAUGUUUACAAUCGGAUGAGUGCUAAUUUCUAUUGAAAUCAUGAAGCAAUCUCUGAUCAUUGGUCUUCUUUGUAGAAACAUGAGCAUUGAAUUUAAAAUUAAUAAUUGUUACUUGGGAUUCAACCUUCAUAAUCAUUGCCUGGGUUUCCUAAUCACUUUCAAGAAUUACUUAUAUAGUGAAGGCACUCGAAACUAAUCAAAUUUGUCCUCUUAUAAAGUUGUCAUAUUCAAGCUUCAGAAUAGCCAAUAAUUGAAAAACUUAUCAUACUCCGCAAUUUGUUGAAGAAUAUUUGGGUCUAUUGAAGGGGACAAUAUAGGGAAUAUUUGUCCCAUAUGCUCAAAAUGUUCAAUUAACAAAGUGUUCUGUAUGUUUAGGGAUUUGUUAGCUUUAAUUACACAAAACAUUAGCAGUUUUAGAGAAAAUUAAUUUUUUUUUGCAAUCUUAGGUUCCAUGAAAUUAAAAAGCCAAUAACAAGUCAAUAUGGCUUGAGACCCAGUCAUCAUAUUCAAAGUCAUCCAACUUAGAAGCAUUCAUUUUGCCACUAACAUGUGCUAAUUUCCAUUUUCUAUCUUUCAAGAGAAAAAGACUGCUCUUAACCAUGGCAAAUAAUUGAACCCAUUAAGAAGAUUGAGGAAAGUAUCAUAUGAGGGUUGUCAUUUUCCUCCAUGACAAAGAAAAAGCAACAGAGAAAAACUCAUAAUAUUAGAAAGAGAAUGAAAGAAAUUGAGUCAUAGAUACACACAGAAGAAUCCAAAAAUAAAGCAAUAAUACAACCACAAAUAUGAGAAGAAGCUCAAUUACAAAGAAAGGAACUCAAUACAAUCAACUAAAAAGCGUUCCGAAGUUCAUACGAAAAUAUUCAUAAUGUGAAGAUCAUUUCAUGAUUCCUACAAUUUCUUCCUUCUACCAGUCCACUCCAUACAAGGUUUGAUCAACAACUUCUUCAUUGAUUUUCUGGUCUCUCUCCGGUGUAUCAUAGAGCAUUUUUGACAUGUUUCUGCAAGAUACACUUGUUAACUUUAAGCGACAUAAGUGCAAAAAAAUAAGAUCAUGUUGUAUUGCCUGUGCUUCCACUCUGCCUUGUUUAGUACUAUUAUGGAGCAGUACUUCCAUAUAGAACCAGUGAUCUCCAGUUCAUUAUGUUGCCUUCUUUAAACUAACUUUAAUUAUCUAUACAUAUAAAACAAAGUGGUCCCAUCAAGGGGCUAAAUCAAGAAUCAAGUGGGGCGAACAGGAAACAGUGGCAUCAAUUUUUAAGUCCAUAAGCUUUAAUAAAAGGAAUAAAACCAAGGAUAUGAAUAUGUUAUUUUUUCAUUUGUUCAUGCACUGGAAGAUCUUUCCUCUUCAAGCAUUGAACCAGCAUCCUUCUGUGCAAGUUGCUGUCGGAACCUUCUAUAAUUGUCAGAAGUCUGUUUCUGAAAUAUACAGAUAAAACUUUUAGCAAGUCUUGACAUUGCUCAUCACUAGGACAUUGUACUAGGAUACCAAUUCAUCUAAUUAGGGUUAAGUUGGCAUCUCGUACACUAUUUUUUAUUUUUCCUUCAUCUUUUGUUCCCAUUUGCAGUGGAAGUGGCACUUAGAAUAUCUGAUCAUGAAGAAUUAGCUUUCGGUGAGAUGAUACUAGGUCAAUUGCCAUUAUCUUUUUGAGUUACUGUGCGAGCAAUCUUGAAAAUAUUUUGGGAUAAAUAGAAUUUGUGCUUAUCAUAAACAUGCUAAACAUCCAAAUCAAGUGCUUUUACUAUUGAUAUCAAAUCAGUAAUUGAUUUUAACCUUUAUGCUUAUCUUUCAGAUUCUCAAUUAUGUAUCUUGAAUAAUGAUAUUAAGCAGAAAUCAUGAAUUGAAUUGCUUUAAUUAACUGUGCCUUAUCAAGCUUGUCAGCAGUGCUAUUGCUACCGCGAAUCAAAUUCGCUGUGCUUCCCGCCUUCUCCAAAUAAGCCACAAGCCCAAUUAUAUCCGCCCUCCUCCCAUCUCCAAGGGAUCAAAAAAUAAAAUGACUUCAAUCAAUUUUCAAGUUUUCCAUCUUGAUCAGUAGACCACCCGGCAUGAAUGUUACCCUCAGUUUAGGAAUAGGAAUUCCUUUUACUAAUCAUUUGGCACUAAAAACUAUGACCCCUAGCAAUUCAUUCCCUCCAUUAGAUAUCUGGGGGCAUCUUGGCUCAGCCAAAAAUGAUAAGUCAUUGCAUUUCACAUUGCAUUCAUUUGUAUUAAUGAGCUAAUUUUUUUUCACAGAAUGUGAUGUGAAUCGAAUUACUUCCAACCAUGUGUCUCUAUAAGGGUUUAACAAAUGUAAUUUGCAUUGUCUGUACACUUUUUUUUCGGUUUCUUUUCUUUUUUAUGCAUGAUUCAUUAGUCCACGGAUCUUCUAUGCAAAGUGUGCAGGCCAAACACCUCCUUCAAUGCAUUAUUCUAGAAGUUAAGACUCAGUUUACUCCUUAAUUGAUCUGUUCCAUUUACUUCAAAUCAUUUGAUUACAUUAAAUGAAUCUUGAAAUUCAAAAAUGCAUCAAAGUUAAAAGACCUUCCAAUGCAUUAAGAAAUCAUCUGAUACAAAUAUAUGUGAACCUGCAACAACAAUAAUGUCAAAAUGGAAAACUUAGGUAGAAAAUAUUAGAACGGAAACUUACGACGAACUCAAUUUUUGGCGCCUUUCUUCUUCUCAUCUUCUGAUCCAAGAAGCUCUUCCAACACCGUGUCAUCCAAACACUCGAACUCAAUGACUUGCUUUUCUUGCCCAGAAGAGGAACCUCCCAUCUCUAAACUCCUACAAGGCCCAGAAGAUGACGAGGAAGACGAUGAGGAUGGUGAUGGUGGGGGGCGAUGGGAGCCCAUGAUUUCAGAAUAGUACUCAUUAGGAAAGUUAAGAAUGGCAAGAUGACCCCUUAAGUUAAAGGCCGCUCGAUCAUAGGCGCGAGCUGCAUCCUCCGCCCUGUCAAAUGUGCCUAGCCAUAGACGAGCACCUUGCCUAGACGGAUCCCUAAUCUCGGCUGCAAACUUCCCCCAUGGCCUCCUCCUCACCCCUCGGUAUCGAACUUCUUCCUUUUCCUUCCCUUCCUGCUCCUGCUUCUCAUUCCCUUUCGAAUGAUCUUCCAUGCUAAACGUGUCGAUUUGCUAGGCGCAAUUUUUUUGGUUUCAAAUGUGCUGGUUUACGAGAGGCAUGGAUGCUUAUGUAUAUAUAUGGUUGCCACAGUCAGGUCUGACGUCACCGCUCAAUGUAUGUUCCACAGCGUGGGUUGACGAGCUUUCUGAGGGGGUUUCCUCGAAUUCAAAGCAAGUAUAAAAAUUCGAUUCUCCGACCUUUCCAAUGAGGAUCGAACAGGCCUUUUAUUAGAACCGUAUGAUAACUCCACACUGUUUUCAAAUAGUCAAUGUGAUCUAGAUUCUUCGUUAAUUUUUUCCACCUGACUGAUUGUUUACAAUUUUAUUUUUCACCGUCCCAAAUUUAAACCAUUUACGCGAUUCCCUGGAUUGCAUUUUUCUUUAAUGUUGACUUUACGAGGCAAUAGGACCCCCCAGCAACCCCACUAGGGCGACUUCAUGGGAACCAGAUUACUUUUGGAUCCAGAUAUGGUCCAGAAGAAAUAAGACAAAUCAAUUAAUGUCCACUAAAGUUUUGAUGGAACCCUUAGUCCGUGUUUCCUGUGGAUGUAUGUAUUGUAUGCACCUCAAUUUUCACCAAUCCCUGCUACGAGUCCCUUUAAUUUUGACGUUAUAAAUGUUUUUCCUGACAUUAGCAGAGUGUUUUUCUGCCGUCUUUGAGGACCUUCCACGGCCCAUAAACUAAUAAGGAUCGUCCAGUGAAUUUAGUCUUCCCCAGUUAAUUAUCCUGCGAGGGAAACUUGGGCAGUAAGUUGCCUACAUGAGUGGCUCCCGCCUACAUGAGUCAAGGGACCAUACGUCAGGACGACAACCAGUGUGGUCACACCAAAGUGGGUUGCCUGGACUCCAGGGUGGUCGCUUCAAAGUUGUCAAAUGAAGGCUAGCUUGGCAAGUUUUGGAAAACAAUUAUUGAAAAACAUUUUUCAUGAAUAACAGUUUCUAUGAACAGAUUUUAAGAAAGUUUAUUUUGUGAUUUUUAGGAAUAUUUUUAAUUUAAAUUUUUAUAUUUUUAAUUUUUUAUUAAUUUAUUGAUUAUUUAAUAUUAGCUUAAUUAAUGGAUUUUUCUUGGUCCCAAAUUAUUAAUUUAUCAAGAUUUAAUCGCAUCCAUAAUUAGUCUAAUUUCUUUUGGAGUGAGUGUGACAAAGUGCAAAUUUCUAGAGUUUUAUUAAUGUUAUUCAAUGUCAUAAUUUAACUAAUUAUAUUAAUUAUUUAUUAAUCAAAAUAAAUCAUUCACUUGAAAUAUGAUAAUUUAAAUUAAAAGUUUCAAUUAUUUAUUAAUUAGCAAAGUAUGAACUUUUCUUCUUGUUUUAUUAUUGUUAUUCCAUGUAUAUAAUUUAAUUAACUGUUUCCAAUAUUAAUCAAUAAAAAUAGAAUAUAAGCAUGAGAAGAAUUAGUAAAAUUCAUUGAUUUGGAAUUAGAUAGCUAGAGGAAGAACUUCAUCAUCUUCCCAUUACUUAAAUUUGUAUAAAUUCUAAAUAUUUAAACCCCCCCCCCCCCCCCCCCCCCCAAAAAAAAAAAAAAUGGUAAAGAAAGACUCCCCAAGCUUUCUUGGUUGGUGUUACCCUAAAAUUUGUACAAUAAGAUGAACCAUUUGGCUUAAAGCUUGGUGCGAAACCCCUUAUCAAUUGAAAAUAUCAAUGAAGUUGUUGAAUGGUUUUAGAGGACUAUUCUUAUGCAGAGUGGCAUAAGAAGCGAGGAGAUGAAGAGCGGAGAGACGUUAACAUCGGAUGCUGCUACGAAGGUGGGAAUACGGUUAAUUAAUUAGAUUUUGUGAUGGCUUUGAGUUUGAAGGAGUUAGUUUAAUGGGUAUUAUUAGUGAACUGAUAAUUGGAUUUGAUGUAAAGAAGGUUGGUCCAUUGGAUUAGCAAUUGGUUUGGCCUUUUGGGGGCCCCAUUUCCAAAUGCAUUGCCUUUUACAAGCAUUCAACAUCGCUGGACGUAACCAGGCUUGGUUCACCUAAAAGUAUCGCAUGGAUUGAAUUGACUAAGUUUUCAUUGUAGACUAGCCUUGAUUUUCCCUUGACCUGCCCACCAAAUCCUGAUGCCCACGCGAGGGAAUACCUCAAUUUUCUAAUAAUUUAUGCAGUUUCUCUUCAAAGCUCGUGUGAUCACUUGGGUCGGUAAAAUAAUGCAUUCCUCUACUUUUUCUCCCUUCCUAGAUGCAUGUUAUACCAUUAAUUCAAAUGUGAACAUGGGCUUGGCUUUGAAACUUGGUUCAAGGCCCAACAUGUUGACCCACAAUUGAGGUGUAAUUGAAUUUGUACACUUUUCGACUUUGAUACCAUUUGUCAUUACCAUUGACAUUGGGUCAUUGUUGAUUUUGAGUCCACAACUUUUAAGGUUGUUAUUACAAUUUUAAAUUGCGCCCACCCAAUUUAUAUGCAUUAUCCCUUAUAAAUACCGAUAACCUCUCUUUCUUCGAUAAUAUAAAAUGUCACAUAUAUUAUAUAUCUCAAUGUUUUCUUUUACUUUUUUUUUUUUUAUCGAUCGACAUUCUCUCUCAGAUGAUAUGAGAUGUCACAUAUAUUAUAUGUUUCAAUGUUUCUUUUACUUUUUCUCUUUUUCCUCAUGAUUGACAUUGUCUUUCUCAAAUGAUAUGAGUUGUCACAUAUAUUUUAUGUCUCAAUGUUUUCUUUAACUUUUUUUCUCUCUUCUUUAAUGAUCGACGUUCCUUUUCUCAGAUGAUAUGAAAUGUCAUAUAUAUUAUAUGGCUUAAUGUUUUCUUUUACUUAUUCUUUCUUUAUUAAUAAUCGACAUUUUAAGCAAUAUGUGAAUAUAAAGCAUUAAAAUUAUCUCCAUCGUUUUUGGAUGUGGUAUAAAUACACAAUUCUUAUUUUUGUUUUAAAUAUUUCUAUUGCUAUCUAUUGAAAUUUUAUGCAUGAAGCUACCAAGUUAAUUAUACAUAUAUCUUAAGAUUUUUUUUUUUUUUUUUUAUAGGAUAUAUUGUCCAUGAAUAUUUUCUGCAAUGGUAUCUUGUUUGAUUACUAUAAGAAAUAAUAUAUAUAUAUAUAUAUAUAUAUAUAUAUAUAUAUAUAUAUAUAUAUAUAUAUAUUAUAUUUCAAUGUUUCAUAUUUGCUUAAAAUAAAAAUUAUAUUUUAUCACAAUAUUUGGUAUUAAAAAAAAUGAAAUCUCUCUCAUUUAUUAUUACAAAAAAAUUAUAAUUUAUAAUUUUCUAAAUAAGUUUUAUUUAUUUGCUAACUAUAUUCAUGAUUAAAAGAUUUAAAAUUUAUAAAUAAAAAAUAUUAUGUCAUGUCAUUAAAUAAAUAAAAAUAUAUGUAUAUAUUAAAAUUAUGUUUUAUUGUAGCUUUUAAUAUUUUUUUUUUUAUUCUUUUCUUUUUUGAACUACAAUUUUAAUUUUUUUUAAUCAAAAUUUUUUAAUUUACAAAACGAGUAACAUAAAACUUGCCUUUGAACUUUAUUGGAAUGUUAUAUACUACCAUUUGGCUUUCAAGACAUUAGAAAAGGCAUAAGUGUCCCUUUUAUUUUUCCGAAAGGCAUAUUAGACUAUAGUAGGAAGUGUUGUAUAGAGGCAACUAAAAGUUGCCUUUAACUUUAUGAAGUCAUAUACUCCUCUUUGGCUUUGAUGACAUCAACUAGCAAAUUGGAUUUUGUUUCCUUUGCAACAUUUUUCCAUCCAUUAGCCAGUUUUUUUAUACUGUUUGGUGCUUGCCAACAUGGCACACACUAUGGUUCUUAAAAAGUAUUUUUUUUUUUAAGAUACUACGAAAUAAAAUACACGAUUGAAAGAUGAGUCACAAUAAUUUUCAAAACUAAAUUUUUUAAUAUUGUUAAGAAAAUUUGACCACCAAAUGAUUGAUUUUAAAUUACAAAUACUUUUGUUAGCUAAGAAAUUUGUUGUUCUAUUUGUUUCCCUAUAAAUAUGACAACAAUCAUAAAUAUUUUCAUUUUAAGAUAAUUUUCAAAUAUCUUCCAUUAAUAAUAUAAUAGAAUUAGGAAUUUUUUUUUUAGUUAUAACAAUCUAUAAUUAUUUAAGAGUCUUCCUCAAUCUCUAGGUUUAAGAACUUAUUGUUCUUAACAACUAACAUGUCAUCUCUUAAAAUAAUACAUUCUGCAAUAAUUAUUGAAAUAUGAUAUAAUAUAUAUAUCUACUUACAACCAUUUUUGUAGUACCAUUAGAAUUUUUAAUUACCCAUUCUAAAGUAUUUUUAUUCUCUAUUCUUAAACCAUCAAAAUUUAAUUUAAAUCUUUCAUUAAUUGGAUAAAUCCAAUGAAUCUAACAAGUUAAAGGAUUAUGAAUCCGACAAAACAGUUGAUAAUAAAUUAAUAAUGCCAUUAAUAUGAUUUUAAUGUGAAACACAAUUAUCACAUUUAAUACAGUUAGUCCUUGUAUGAUUAAUGUUUUGGAAGCUAAAAUCAAUCUUUUGACUAUAAUAAGAGUUUCUACUAUUUCUAUUUUUGGAUGAUUUUAUAUUUUUCUUAUUGUUUUAGUUUAAUACAAAAAAUAAAAAUAAAAUUACAUUAGUAGAAUUUUUUUAACUUACUCAAAAACCUAUUUUAGUUGAAUGAUUUUUUUAAAAAAAAUAUAAAUAUUUUGUUAAAAGGGAUAAAAUAACCUUACCUUGUGAAAAAGACCUCUUCACCCAAGAUUACUUGUUCAUAAUCCUUUUAAGACGAAAAUGCCCCCUUCCUAAAAAAUAUUUCAUCUUAAACUUAUUUUUCUUUUUAUUGCCCUUUGUUCCAUCCUUCCGGCUUGGGAGAGAAAUUCAUUCUUCUUUUGCGAAGAAAAAUUCCUAUUGCGAUUUUUCAUUUCAAGUGGAAAAAAAAAUUCUUAUUUCAUUUUAAAGAAAUUGUACAUUUUCAAUCUUUCUCUUUGUUCCUAGUUGAGGGUUUUUUUUGUAAUUUUAUCUUAACACUACAAAUUUAAAGGUGAGAUUAAAUCUUAAUGGUUAUUAGUUAAAUCACAUAUCUAACUUUGUUUUUGUCAGGACCUAUAAUAUGAUUGGAACCACCAUCCAAACUUCAUUAGGUGGGAUACUCCCCACCCUCCCCCUCCCCCCGCGAAAUCCUUGGAUUUUAGUUUUGACUUGGAUUUCAAUUGCCCGUAUCAAUUUUUCUUUAUUUAUUAAUUUAUUAAUUUUCAACUUUAACAAAAGCCUUGAAUCAUAUUUAAAUUCAAAUAACUUAAUCCUAAUUAAGUUCUUUUUAAAUAAAAAUUAAUCAUUGAAAAGUUCAUGUGACUAUUAUAAUUGAGAAUUUAUCCCAAGUUGGGUUUUUUGCAAAUAAAAUUUUAUUAUAGGACAUCAUGAUGCAACAUAACAUAAGGUUGUUACUUAAGUUUGUUUUGACCUUGUAAUAUGUUAAAAUGAAAAUGAAGCCAUUGUAACAGGAGAGAAUGAUGAAGCUGUGGAGAGAGCUUAACAAAGCUUGGGUUGGAGAGACUUCACAGGAAGAGAGAGAGAGAAAUAAAGGGUAAAAUUAUCAAAAGAGAAAAGAAAAAAAAAAAAAAAAAAGAAGGUUAUGUCUUCAAAUAAUCAAUAAGAGAUGUCAUUUUUCUAAUUUUCAAAGUUCUUUUGGUCCUUCUCUACAAAUAUCCCUAUAAAAAUAUUAUAAUAUCAAGUUAAUUUGUCAAUACCAAAAUUUAUAUUUUAUAUUAGGGCGACUAAAUAACAUAUAGAAAGAAUUUUAAAUGAGUAAAUCAAAUCAAUUUUGAAACCAAAACUUAAUAAUUACCAAACUUGUAAUCUUAGUCAUUAAAAGUGUACGAUGAAAUCUAAAUUAUUAAGCAAUGAAACAAAAAAUUAAGAUUAAAAUACAAAACGUUAAAAUCAAGAUACAAACUAUUAAAAUGUAAGUGGGAUAUGAGAUGAUAUUAUAAAAAAUAGUGUGAUCCAACAAAAAGUCUAGUACAUCAUUAUCUUCACUUCCAACCAUGUUUAAAAGGUCACAAGUUCUAGCGGUUUCCAAGGACAAUGUUAAAAAUAAUAAAAAUAAAUCCAAUUAAAUAUUAAUUAAUUUAUUUGAAUUUGAGUCCGACAAAAUAGUUGGUAAUAAGUUAAUAAUGCCAUUAAUAUGAUUUUAAUGUGAAACACAAUUAUCACAUUUAAUACCCGUUAGUCCUUGUAUGAUUAACUUUUUAGAAAUUAAUAUCAAUCUUUUGAUUAUAAUAAGAGUUUCUACUAUUUAUAUUUUUGGAUGAUUUUAUAUUUUUCUUAUUGUUUUAGUUUAAUACAAAAAAAUAAAAAUAAAAUUACAUUAGUAGAAUUUUUUUUAACUUAUUCAAAAAACCUAUUGUAAGGUGAAUGGUUUUUUUAUUUUUUUUUUAAAUAUAAAUAUUUUCUUAAAAGGGAUAAAAUAACCUUACCUUGUGAAAAAAGGCCUCUUCACCCAAAUUUACUUGUGCAUAAUCCUUUUCAGACGAAAAUGCCCCCUUCCUAAAAAAUAUUUCAUCUUAAACUUAUUUUUCAUUUUUAUAACCCUUUGUUCCAUCCUUAUGAUUUGGGAGAGGAAGUCAUUCUUCUCUUGUGAAGAAAAAAUUCCUACUGCCAUUUUUCAUUUCAAGUGAAGAAAAAUAUUUAUAUUUCAUUUUAAACAAAUUGUACAUUUUCAAUCUCUCUUUGUUCCUAGUUGAGGUUUUUUUUUUUUUUUUUUUUUUUUGUAAUUUUAUCUUAAUUGUACAAAUUCGAAGAUGAGAUUAAAUCUAUAAUGGUUAUUGGUUAAAUCACUUAUCUAACUUUGUUCUUGACAGAUCGUAUAAUAUGAUUGGAACCACCAUCCUAACUUUAUUAGGUGGGAUCCCUUUUUUUUUUUCCCCAAACCCUUGGAUUUUAGUUUUGACUUAUAUUUCAAUUGUCUGUAUCACUUUUUCUUUAUUUAUUAAUUUUCAACAAGUUCUUUAACAAAAGCCUUGAAUCAUAUUUAAAUUCAAAUAACUUAAUCCCCAUUAAGUUCUUUUUAAAUGAAACUUAAUCAUGUGAAAGUUCAUGUGACUAUUAUAAUUGAGAAUUUAUUCUUAGUUGGGUUUUUUGUAAAUAAAAUUUAGUUAUAGGACUGUGAUGAUCCGUUCUCAACCGUAUAAAUAUUGUUCGUUUUGAAUUCAAAAUAACUUUUACGGCUUUAAAACAUGUUUACAAGAUUAAGAGGAGUCCAUAUUUAUAUAGCUUCACGAACUUUCCCCCCUAUUCGAUGUGGGAUGUCACAAGGACAUCAUGAUGCAACGUAUAACAUAAGAUUGUUUCUUAAGUUUGUCUAACCUUGUAAUGUGUUAAAAUGAAGAUGAAGCCAUUAUAACAGAAGAGAAUGAUGAAGUUGUAGAGAGAGCUUAACAAAGCUUGGGUUGGAGAGACUUCAUAGGAAGAGAGAGAGAGAGAGAGAGAGAAAUAAAGGGUAAAAUUAUCAAAAAAGAAAAAAGAAAAAAAAGAGGGUGAUGUCUCCAAAUAAUCAAUAAGAGAUGUCAUUUUUCUAAUUUCAAAGUUCUUCUGGCCCUUCUCUACAAAUAUCCCUAUAAAAACAUUAUAAUAUCAAGUUAAUUUGUUGAUACCAAAAUUUAUAUAUUAUAUUAGGAUGACUAAAUAACAUAUAGAAAGAAUUUUAAAUGAGUAAAUCAAAUCAAUUUUGAAAUCAAAACUUAAUACCUACCAAACUUGUAAUCUUAGUCAUUUAAAGUGUUCCAUGAAAUCUAAAUUAUUAAGCAGUGAAACAAAAAAUAUAAGAUUAAAAUACAAAACGUUGAAAUCAAGAUUCAAACUAUUAAAACGUAAGUGGAGACGUAAGAUGAUGUCAUAAAAAAUAGUGGGAUCCAACAAAAAGUCUAUUAAUCAUUAUCUUCACUUCCAAUCAUGUUUAAAAGGUCACAAGUUCUAGCGGCUUUCAAGGACGAUGUUAAAAAUAAUAAAAAUAAAUCCAAUUAAAUAUUAAUUAAUUUAUUUGAACAAUAGAUAGGACCAAAAUAAUAUUCUAAAAGGAAUCAUAGGGAAGUCCUUGGACAACCUACGACAUUGAACAAAGGUACAGUGAGACAAUGCACUUAGCCCUUCCUUGUCAUUGCGAUGAAUAUAAAAAGACACCCUGAUUGAGGGUGCCCCACUAAGCCAAGAGUGAUUCUUUUGUAUUGUAUAACGUGAAUAUUUUUGAACUUUGAAUGACCCUUCCUAUAGUCAUCAUUGUCAAAACUAGAAAAUCAGAAAGAUGCGAUGUACGAAGGCACCAUUGAAUAAGAGGCUUAAUUCUCUUUGGCAAUUAGGAUAAAGUUUCAAAAUAGAAAAAUUAAACAAAUGUACAGUGUACGGACACUUGGGCAUUGCCUAUUUGUUUUGUUCUUCUAGAGUUGUAUAUGGUAAAGGUCAUAUUGGGUUGGUUCUAUUUGGUUAUUGAAGUCGGCUAGAAUAUUAGAUUUGGUUUCAAUCUAAUCCCAUAUGAUAUUAGAAUACCAGCCCAUACAGAAUUUUUGACCAAAUAUAAUAUUUCUUUUAAAUAUAAAUAUAGUAAUUAAUUUUAGUCUAAGAUUAAUUAUGUAGUUUCCUAAAGAGACCACUUCCUAAACGGUAGCUAUGUGGAAGUUGGGCCAGGUCCUGCCGAGAAGGUUUCCACGAGCUGAGCCCAAAACUGAGUAGCUGUGAUGGGAUCAUUCUAGCAUUCAGCCUGAAACUUGUAACAUAACGGAUCGAGAGGCCUGAACUCCAAGACCAUGGUUCGUCAGCCCAUUAACUUCAACAGCACGCAUUUUAGAGGACUGGGCUUGCAAGGGGUGAGGUUUCCGGGCCGCGACCCCAAAUAUGAACAGCCUCAGAAGUGAUAUUGCUUACUGGCACGUGAAGAGCGCAAGCGUAACUAGAAGAUUUGUAAUGCCGCUUUAAUUGUUUGAUUAUAGAAUCCCACGCAUUACGCAUGGAAAGUGUAAAAGAUAAAAGAUGUAGAAUUUUUUCUUAGAGAAAAGUUCGUUUGGAUAUAGUUAUUGUUUUUUUUUUAAAUAAUAAUUGUUUUUUUUAUAAAUUAUAGAUAAUCUUAGAAAUUUAUCUUUAAAAAAAUAGUUUUUAAAAAUAUUUAAGGAGAAUAAAAGUGAUAAAAAAAAACUUUACAAUUUCAAAUUUUUAAAAAAUGAAAAUUAUUUUUAAGAAUAUAAGUUAAUCUCCUGCAUUUAAAUCUUAGGUGGUUUUUGUUUUUUUUACUUUUCGCUGAAAACAAUUUGUUUUCAAAAUUUAGGUCAUUUGUUUUUUCUAUUUUUUCAUGAUUUAUUAUAAAUUUUUUACUAAAUAAAAAAAAUCAAAAUAUGUAACUUUUUCUAAAUAAAAAAAAUAACGUAUUGAUUUUUCUUUACUUUUUAAUACUUAAUAGAUAUAAAAUACUACAAAAACAAAAAAUCUAAUAUUUAACACUAUUAAGCAUUAAAGUUCUAUUUAGAAUUAAGUAAAAAAACAAACACCACCUUAUAUUUUAUAUAAAAGUUACUUAUAUUUUGGUUUUUGGAAAUAAAAAAUAUAAAGCAUAUCCAAACAUGAGCUUAGCUAUUUUAAAUCAUAUCAAAAUAAUAAUCCCAAUAAGGUAAAUGGACUUUUAUACGGAGAAUAAUCUUUAAGGUUUUCAUUUUUAUUGGAUUUUUUUUUUGUGGUGUUUUUUCAAUCCAUCUUCUCAAUUAAUUCCUUAAAAUUAUUUUACUGUUUUUUUUUUUUUCAGUUUCUAAAUAUUUGAUUUUUCCAAAAUGCUUAAAUGGAAGACACUAAUUUUUCAAGAUAUUUGGUAUUACAAUUUUCCCUGUUCUCCCUAUUAUCUAUCAGAUUCAUGGCCCUUUUGUUUUUUCAUUGGUUUUCAAUUUAAUUUUCCAAAUAUUACAUUGUUGUGUUUUGAAUUUGUGAAACCAAUUUUAUAUAUAUAUAUAGUAUGUAAGUCUACUUUGGGUAACAUGUACAGAGAGGUUUUCAUGUGUUUGAAACCUUUUACCUCAAAAAUUAAUUAUUUUUAAUUUUAUAAUAAAUCUUUUUUUAUUUUUUAUUUUAUUUAGGAAAGCCUAUAUUUAAACUACAUGUUUGCAACGCAACACCAUACAUACUCCUAGUGGAACUUACCUUAGUGCUUGAGGGGGAUGCAGAUCUUCUUCUAAACCUAACUAAUAAGCAUAAAAUUGUUCACUAAUUAGCAUAUCUAGUAAAUCAUACAAAUUGGCAAUAUUUCAUGUUUUUCAUGUUUUGUCAAUAAAAGGCGUCUUGACCAUUUUGUGAGUUUUGUAAUAAAUAAAAAAAAAAAAAAAAAAAGGGCAAAAGGUGACUAAAAUGAGGCACUUUGGAAAGGUUAAUAACCUAAAAGGAAGAUGAAUUAAUACCCCCUUAUUCCUCUUCAAAAACCAUUGAGAAAAUGCAAGAAAUGCUCUUAGUUGUAUGCUAGGCUAACAGCCUAGCAACCAUAAUACCCUUCUUUGCAAUUGUAAGCAUUUUUUUUUUUUUUUUGAAGGCCAAACAACGUUGCAAACUUCCCAAAUCCCUUCUUUAUUUUUUAUUUUUUUAUUUUUGUUUUUAGAAGGAGAAUGAAUUUGAUGACAAACUCCUUGUCAAUCUUAUCCAAACCACGAUCGAACAGAACUCCUUGUCAAUCUUAUCCAAACCGUGUUCCACCUCAAAAACAUGUGUAGGACUUAAGGCAGCAACUGGCAAGCAUGACUGAUAGGGCCAAGUGCCCUUGUCUCUACAAUCCAUUAAGUUAACCAAGGGCAGUGAACCAUCAUUCUUUUCAAAAGCUUCAUUCCGUGUUGAAAAUGUGAGACUGAAGCAUGGUGCCCCCAAAAAUAACGAUCUAUUUACUAGCAGCAUGCCUGGACCCAUUAAAAAUACUCUACUUUAGGAAUAGAAAAAAUUACAUCUUUAUCCAAUAAUUUUAUAACAAUUCAGACGUUUCAGUCUAUAAAUAAUUGUACAUAGUUGCCAACGUUUAGCUAGUUUCAAAUGAAUAGCCUAGGUUCAUGCACCAGUUUGGCUGGUGGAGGAAAGGGAUUCGAGACAUUGAACCCUCUUUUUAGUGUGCCAAAUAUUCCACAAAAAUCACUACCUUCUCUUUGUGUUUGUUCACUUUUAGUUUAUAUUUAAUAAAUCUAUGUUUUCGAGUAGAGGUUGGGUUCAGGUGCGACCCACGUCACCUCUCGGACGGUCUUGAAAAAGGAGACCGGACCACGUAAUUUCAAAUGUAGUGACCAUCUCACUUUUACCUCCAUCCUUGAAGAUGGUUUCCCAAAUCAAUAUUAAUCUUUUGUUUACGACAAUAUCGAUCACUUUAUGUCUAUAUCGUUGUUAAUUUACCUUUUUUUUUUAGCCACAUUAUUUGAAAAUUGAUGCAAACUUUACCAACAUCUUGGUACCAUUUUAAAAUAUUAGAGUUAUUUGAUUAAAAAAAUAAAAUAAUCUCGAUAACUUGUUUAUAAAAUAAAUAUCUUUUAACAUUUAGACUAUUCUCACGCAUGCUUUAAAAUUGUAAAGAUAUUCAUAAAGUGGAACUUUAGACUUAAUCAAUAUCGAUCACUUUAUGUCUCUAUUGUUGUUAUAUUUUUUUUUUACAACAUUAUUUGAAAAUUGAUGCAAACUUUACCAACAUCCUAAUACCAUUUUAAAAUAUUAGAGUUAUUUGAUUAAAAAAAUAAAAUAAUCCCGACAACUUGUUUAUAAAAUAAAUAUCUUUUAAUAUUUAGACUAUUUUCACCAUGCUUUAAAAUCAUAAAGAUAUUUAUAUUCAUAAAGUGGAACUUUAGACUUAAACAUGAUAAUAGUUUUUUUACAAUAUUAUAAUUAUUUUAUCGUUUUAAUUAAGCCCUUUAUCAUACAUAUAAAUGUAAAUUAAUGCUAAAUUUUUAAAGCAACGUAUAACCUUUUACAUCUUUUUUUAAGAUGGUGCGAAAAUCCUAUGAAAAAUAAUAAAAGUCGAUGCAUAAGAAGAUUGUUUUGAUAAUUCAAUAGAAAAAUUCUUUUAAAAUGAUAUUAAAAAAUACCCAUAGAGCCUUUAUUAAAAAAAUCAAUUAUUUUCAUAAUAAAAAUUAUAAUUUUUUAUUAUGUAUUAUUAUUUUUAAGUAUCUUUAUUACAAAUACUUUUUUUGAGUUUAUGAGAGGAAUCAACAGGUUGGUACAAGCUUAGGCGUCCUCGUACAUGUUCCCGCUGUGCAAGGUUUUUGUCUUGUUUCGAGCUAGUCGGAAUUUACGUGUUUGAUAACGUUUUGUCCUAUUUUUGUAACGCUUUAAAGGGCGGCCCACCGUUGGAACAGUUCAAGCCAUCCAAAUCAGCCCGGAGGGUUAUGGCGACGUGGCAUGACGCCUACCACCUUAGUUCACAUGAACCCUAUGAUCGUACUACCCUCACAUGACAUCUGUGAUUCUUCACCUCCAAACCCUCUUUAACUUGGUAAUGUAUUCAAAGCUUCAUCAAAUCAUAGCGAUUAGCGACCCUCUUCCACCCUAAUUUUAUAAUAAAAAAUAAAUCUUAGUGGACAUUAAAGUAGUAUUUUGUGGGGGGAAAGAAAAACUCUAUGGGCGUAUCCACUAAAUACGAGCCAAGUAUAAGAGUUAUCACCAUGGAAUCAAAUUAUGAAGCAUUGACAUUUUAAUUGUAUUCAGAUUUGAGGAGGGCACCGCGGCACCAGCUGGCCCAGUGUAGUCUGCUAGCCUACCCGCCAUAAUGACCAAAUUAAUAAAGUAAAAAGGAUUACAGGGAUAUUCCCAACUUUAUUCUGGGUCUGAGCUGGAACUUGGGAGUUAUCACGAUCAACGGGAAAGAUGGUGGGUAGGGGACGAGGAUUGAGGGCUCCAUAUUCACAUCAGUGAAAAACGAAAUGUAUUGAGACAAGUCUUCUAAGGAUUUUCUAGCGUAUUAUAUGGUUUAAAUGAUUAUAAAUCUGUAGUUACUGGUAAAGAGUAGAGAGUGAAGACGAAAGACGUUGAGUGAAAAGGAAGGAGGAGAGGGGAUGGGGCCAUCUUACCGUGUCGGGGAGGAUCCAUAAAAGGACUACGUUCCCUGAAUCUGUAGGCAUCAUGCCUCGCCUAACGGGUUAGUCAAAAUACAGUGAUGUGUGUGAGUUGGGGGCCUCACUCCUCAUUUCUUUCCUUCUUUUCACCCCCACCCCCACUUUUUUUUUUUUUUUUUCGAAUUUUUCUUUGUCCUUUUCUCUCACUUGCGCACGCGGGAGAAGGACCACAAACUAGACAAUUCCUCUGCUCACGUGACCCCGAGUUUUUAAAUAUUUGCCUAUUUGGAAAAUAGUCAUGAAUCAUGAUCGUUAACAAACAAUCUUCACUUUAUUUAUUUAAGAUCUAUUUUUUGGAGCUCUAGUUUAGUUUAUUAUUAUUAUUAUUAUUAUUAUUAUUAUUAUUAUUAUUAUUUAGUAACUCCUCUUAUAUUAAUGAAAAAGAGAGGAGGAAUCCAAACUUGUUUAUUCUUCCUCUUUUAAGGUGUUUGUUUUUUUUAUUUUAUUUUUAUGCUUCAUAUGUCUUCAAUUUCUUAGCAUUUGUCUUAUAUUUCUUCUUAUCCGAUUCAUUAUUGCAUCCUUGGUCAAUCUUUCACGAGGAGUGCCUACUUUUUUCCUUUUUAUUAUUUAAUUCACUUUAUCUUUAUAUUUUCCUUUUACACUUUAUUUCCAAUUCAAAACGUGUCAAAAAAAAAAAUUGGUAACAAAAAAAAAAAAAAAAAUCAAUUGUAAUGAUUCUUAUAUAAUUUUAUUUAAUUUUUAUUAAACAAUAAAGAAAUUAAAAAUAUAUAAAUUUUUAAAUAAUUAUUAUAGUCUUUCAUUUUUGUGUAUAAUUUCUUUUGCAAGAAAUAGUGUAGGCUUUCCACGGUCUAAAGGAAAUGGAAUAUCAAAUGAGAAGGUAAUAAUAAUAAAGUGAGUUAUAGAUACUAAUCAAACUAAUCCACUAAUGAAUUAUUUAUUUUUAUUUCACAUGGACAAAUCCUAAAAGUUGGAGUUCUAAUUUACUUUUAUGUUAAGCUUUUUUAAGUAAAAAUCUUUUAUUAUUAUAAUUUAUAGACAAAAAGAAACCCAUUAAUGUGAUGGAUAAAAAAUUUCAAUUUAAAAAAAAAAAAAUUAAAGUUGCUAAAUUUUUGUAUUUAUUAUUUCAAACUCAUUUAAAUAAUUUAAAAAUAUGUCUUCAAUUAAUUUUAAUGAAACAAAGCAUGAUUUUUUUUUAAUUUUUUUUUCUUUACCAAAUAAAGCAUUAUUAUAAUACGUUGAUUAAAUUUUCAUCAUGUCUCUCAAGAUUUGGAUUAAAUAUACUUAGUUGUCAUAAAUUUGAAAUUUUAUUUAAUGUAUUUUUUAUUUUAAAUUAAAAAGAUGAAUGCAAAUAAAAAAAAUAUGUAUAUUUUAUAAAAUUUUAAAUUAAACGAAGGAUACGUGUAUUUAACCAAGGUGAAUGAAAUUAAUCCAAAUACUUUUUGGUAACUUGCAAAAUAUCUUGACGAAAUCAUUAUGGCAGGCAUCGUACAAGCUCAACCCUUGUCGCCUUGCUAGAAAUAGAGAAACAAAAAGACCCCCAAAUUGGGUUGCAUCCUAAAUAUGAAGAAGUGGUAACAAAGGAAGAAAAAAUGCUGUGUUAUUGAAUAGUUAAUACAUUGAACAUGAUAUGUUACAUAGAGAGCCAGAUUAAUCCUAGUGGAAUUCCACUGUCACGAUGGUAACCUAGGGUUAUGUUUGGUUAUUGAAAAUACCAAGAAAAGAAAAAAAAAUAUAAAGGAAAAUAAUUUUUUCAUUUUUGAUUGUCUUAUAAAAGAUAUAAAAAAAAAACAAAUAUAAUUAAAACUAAUUAAAAAUUUAGGUAUUUUUAAAUUAUUUAAUUUUUAUAUUAAUGAGCGAAAAUAAAUAAAAUAAGUUUAAAAUAACAAAAAAAAUAAUUUACCGAUUUUUAAUCUAUAUUUUAUUUUACUUUUUCUUUGUAUUUUUUUUUUCUUAUAUUUUCCCUCAAAUUUUCUGAAUCAAACAUAGCAAAAAAGGAGCUACCCCUUUCGAAAGAAACUCCCAAGAAUUUCAAAGAAACCUGCUGAGAUAAUGAAUGAGGGAUCACUGUCGGUAAACAGUAUCCAUUCUUUUGGGAGGACUUUCAAACUGAGAAGUUGUUUUCAUGACUUGGAAACAAAAUUUUGAGCUCUAAGGGGGUCUGUAUUUGGGCCCUAAAAUUCAAUCCAUCAAUCUGAAAAAUGCUUAGGAUAAUGAUUUGAUUUAGCCACAAUCACUAAACAAAUUCCAGAGGAAAAUUUCGCUACUCAUAGGUGGCUGAUUCUCAUAAAAAGACAUCGUGGUAGGGUGUCUCAAGUGCAGGCUCACCAUCAACUUGCUGCCCUUUUUAGAUUAUUGUAAAAUGAUUUCACAUGAAGCCCAAUGCAAAACUUUGAAAGAAAAGGUUGGUGGAGACGUGAAGAAUAUGUAACCCAUAGGCCAUAACUAGUACCGAAGAUUAUUGAACAAACAUUCAAGGUUUUUGUAUAGACGAAACUGAAAAGAAUGUGUACCAGACUCAGGCGUUCAGAUCAGAUGAUGCCGUAAUGUGGAUUGUGGAGGAGCAUUGUGCAGACAGAUAAUGAGAUUCUGAAAGCGAGGCCACUGAUGGGCCCUUGGAAGGGGGGCGUGCCUUCAAAAUUAUAUAUAUAUAUAUAUAUAUGUCAUUGAAAAUUGGAAGCAACUUUUCUUCUUAAGUUAUUUUAAUCGAAGAAGAAACAAAAAGUUAAAAACAUACAUUAUUCUUCCUUCUUACGAGGUUUCCGGGUCUAAAUUACUAUGGUCUCUGCAACUGGCGUCGUUUUCUCUCCCCUCUCUCUAUUUUCCCUUUAUUUUUUCACUUUUAGAAAGAAGCAUCCCAUCAAGAAUCUACUACAACCCUACGCUUCCAUUUUGAUUUAGAAAGUUAAAAAUAAGUUUAAGUUAAAAAAAAAUAUUUUCUUAUAUAAUUAUUUAAACUUAUUUCUUUUCCUUUUUAUAUAAAGAAACAAAUAUUUUGCAAAUAAAUAAAUUUCUAAUUAUUUUCAUUAACAUAAUAAUAAUAUUUUUCAUAUGACUUUAAUCACAAUUUUUUUUACCACUUGUCCAAGGCGGUGAGAGGUGAUAAAAUGUAUUAAAAAAACGAUUAAAUUGCAUUAGGUAUAGAAGUUUUGUGCUUCAAUUAUCACUUAUAAAAAUAAAAUAAAAAUAGUCAAAUUUGAGUGUGCAAGUUGGUAUUCGUAUGUAGAAGGAAUUGGGGGAUUUGGGGGUCCUAACAAAUUUGAUAUGAUUGAUGGAAGGAAAUGAUUAUUAUAGGAUAAAGUCCGAAUGAAACGCUGACGAGGGGGGAAAAACAACAGUGGCAAUGCACUAUCCACAGAUCCAUGAUUGAUUUAUGUUAGCAAUAAUGAAUUAUUUUGACUUUGAUAACCUUGGUUAAGAGAAUUUGGUCUUGUUAUUAUCAUUUUUUCAAAAAAAAAAAGUGUAGGUAACUAGGUAGUUGAUUUAUUAGAAUUUAGAAAUGAGGAUCCCCUCCUCCUGCAAGAGCCGUGACAGACAUGCCUGCUUUCUUGCCAGAUUAUACCAAUGUGCCCAAAUAAUCCCCCAUCUAUCAUCUCUGCACCCUGGAACACGUCACUCCCUCCUUUGAGCAAUAAAAUAUCUCUUUUAUUUUCUUUUGAACCACUCUUCUAUUUCUUUGUACCAGACUGGACCCAUUUAAAUUCUUCGCUACGCUGUUCCCAAGGACUACGAGAAUCAAAAUAGCAAAAUUCUUGAAUCAUUUUAAUGGGUUCAGAAACCACAUGUUUCUCUAGAUCAUAAGAGGAAAAUCUUUUUGGAUGGUGUUUGUGUUGUGUUGUGUUCAAUAUUAAAUACUCAAUUAAAUAAGCUAAAUCAAAUAUCACAUGAAAAAUAAUCAAAUUAAAAAUAGGGAGAAUUAUGUUUUGAGGGUAGAUGGACCCCAAAUUAACAAAAGGUUCAUGUAACUCUUCAAAUUGAGCCCAGACCCAAUGAAAAUAUGGAAAUUGAGUUGAAGUAUAUCAUCAUUCAGUAUUUCCAAAAAUGUCCUUUGUUGAUUUUGAGAAAAAAAUUAAUAUUUUUGAAAAAUAUUUUUAUGUAAUUUAAUAUUUUUUUAAAUACUUUUAUUUAAUUUAAUAUUUUUAAAAAAUAAAUUUAUUUAAUUUAAUAUUUUAAAAAAUAUUUAAUUUAAUAUAUUUUUUAAAUACUUUAAUUUAAUUUAAUAUUUUUGAAAAAAAUUUUAAUUUAAUAUUUUUGAAAAAAAAAUUAUUUAAUUUAAUAUUUUUUAAAACUAUUUUUAUUUAAUUUAGUAUUUUUGAAAAAAAAUUAUUUAACUUAAUUUUAUAAAAUAUUUUAUAUGUGUUCUUAAAGGGUAUAUUUGUCCGUUACUAUUUCAUAUCCUUCAACUCAAUUUAAAGAGUUAUAUGGACCUUUUGUUAAUUUGGGGACCCAUCUACCCUCAAAAGAUAAUUCUCCCUUAAAAAUAUAAAUUUAAAUAUGACAUAAUUAUUAAAUAUGUUAGAUCUUGUAUGAGUUUAUAAGAUUUAUGUUUCAAAAUAACAUGUUUAUAAUUCAUCUAUUGAUUUAUAAUCAAAUUUUAAAUAAAUUAAAGUUAUUCAAGUUAAUAAAUAUGAUUUAUGUUAUAAAGACUAACUAAAAAAUAAUUUAUUAAUUAAACGGAUCCUGGUCAAUAAAAAUUUGAUUUAAAUACGAUCAUACUUAAUCAAAACUUAGGUCAAAUUGUAUUGAUAAAUUACAUCAAAACCUUGUUGUGUUCAAUAUUUUAUAUUAAACUAUUUUUUAAUAAAAUUAUUUUUAUAAAUAUAAUAUUACAUCAUUUGGAGAAACAAAAUAGUAUUAUAUUGAUUUUACAUAUAAAGCAACCAGUUAACCCCUCAUUAUUUUGAUCCAUUUCACAUCCAUAUCAUUCUCAUAAUUUUUUUAUAAUAUAUUAACAUGAUGGACGGUAAUUGAGGGUAGAAAAAAAAGAUGAGAAGAAUAAAAUAAUGUGAAUCCUCUCUAAAUGUUACAUCUUCUGACAAAUGAAGUCUAUAGAAAUGUGUAAAAAAAAAAAAAACACUUAAUUGUGAGGUUCACUUGAUUUAGCAAAAAAUUAAUAUUUUAUUUGUUGUGUGAUUUAAAAAUAAUAUUUUAUUUUUAAAAAUAAAAAAUUAUUUUUAAAGUUUUUUAACACUAUUUUACUAUUGUUCUUUGAAAUAAUUUUUAAAAUUAAAAUGAAAUAACUAAUAAUUUUUAGAUAAUAAAUUAAAGUUGUUUUUAUUAGAUUUUAAAAAUAAAAGAAAAAUAUAAAACCAUUUGAUCAAAUUUUUUUAAACUUAUUUUUAAAAGGUUUUUUUUUUUUUUUUUUUUUUUCUAUCCUAAGUUAAAAGAUAAAAAAUAAUUUUUAAAGAUAGGUUACGAGCAAAUGCCACAAACUUUUUUCUUCUCUUUCCCUUGUUCGGAUAGAAGUGAAAAAUAUCCUCCCAUGGAUCGACAUUACGUGAGCCAUCACCAUUCCCCAACUGCAAUUCAACCGCCAAAGCUGAGGUGUCAUUAUUAGUUUGAACAAAAGUCAGCAUUGUCCACGUGGUGACAAGCGGAACUGACCCAACUUGCAAGGCAAAAAAAUAAAUAAAAUAAAAUGAAAAAAUCAGAUCACCAUUAUGACGUCAGUCCAAUUGCUGACCUGGCCGCCGUCCCCCAUUUGACCCACGUGUUCAUUUAACCCAUUCGCCGUAUGCCGUGGCUCCCCACCCAUAUGGCCAUAUCUGCCAUUUAUUUUAUCCGUUGCCUCCAUUCGGUUUUUGGAUUUUACCCAUUCGCCCUCGUCUAUUCCCAUUUCCGUAUUUGCCCACCAAGGAAAUUCAAUUCCCAUGCUUUUGUUUUACAUUCAAAUCCUCCCCCCUCUAUAUAAAGGAGGGAGUAGGGCUUGAAAGUUUCUCAAGCCAACAUGGACUGUUGAGAGUGAAAGACAGAGGAGCCACAAACAAAUAUCACUCACUCAAACCAAAGCCAAAACCAAUACCGAAUUCAAUUCAAAUGACUUCUUUCUCUCUCAUCAAUUCCCUGAAUUCCGAUUCCGAUUUCAAUUUGUUAUCGGAUUCUUUUUCCUGGGAAAACUCCCUACCUUUCAAUGAAAACGACUCCCAGGAGAUGCUCCUCCUGGGCAUGCUGGCCAGCUCCACUCAGGAAACCUCAGAAACAGUUUCUUUGAAUCGAGUGAAGGAGGAAGAAGUGACUUCCCAGGAAAAUCCCGAGAAGGAGAAGUCAUACAGAGGCGUUAGGAGGCGGCCAUGGGGGAAAUUCGCAGCAGAAAUAAGGGACUCGACCAGGCAUGGCAUAAGGGUGUGGCUGGGAACAUUUGACAGUGCAGAGGCAGCUGCUCUGGCCUAUGAUCAAGCUGCUUUUGCGAUGCGGGGCCCUGCGGCAGUCCUCAAUUUCCCGGUGGAAAGAGUGAAGGAAUCGAUGCAGGAGAUCAAGUGCAUCUUGGAGGAGGGGGGCUCACCAGUGGUGGCCCUCAAGAAGAGGCACUCUAUGCGGAGAAAAAGUCCUUGCAAGAAACAUAAAAGUGAAGAGGUGAGGUUAGAAAAUGUGGUAGUGCUGGAGGAUUUGGGUACUGAAUACUUGGAACAGCUCCUCACUUUCUCUGAGACCUCUAGUCCUUGAUCAUCAUCAUCCAUCACCUGGAUAGCUUCUUCUCUUUGCUCUGUUUCUUACUUUUCUCUCUCUCUCUCUCUCUCUCUCUCUUUUUUUUUUAUGUAAUUUUUCUUAAUGUAUUUUUGGAGAUGGCGGGGGUGUAGUGGUGGCAAUUAUCCAUCUAGAAUUUUUCAAAAGAUAUGUUCUUUUGUUUCUUUGUAUAAAGUUGAAAAGUGGGGAUCAAUUGUGAUGGUGCUCUAUGUUCAUCCACCCAAUUUAUAUAAUCAAGGUGAUUAAUGUUUUUUGAUAUCAACAAUUUGUGAAUGACAUAGAGAGAGAGAGAGAGAGAGACCUUAUUUUCUACACUCAUUACGGUGGUUUCCAUUUGGGGAAGGAAAAGGAAAUGGCUAAGAAUGUUACCAAAAGAAGUGGGGUGGCUUUCAUAUGCGUGGUGGCAUACUUGCAUACAAACUUUUCAAUUGUGUUCUGCAUGCCACUCGGGUCAAUUUCAUUUCUUUUACUCCUAGUAGCCUAAUUGGAUUUCCUUUUUCUCAUGAGACAUCAAAUAAAUUUCAUUUUUUUAUAUUUAAAUAGUUAGGUAAGUUUGAUAGUGAGUUAUAUUUUAUACAUUAAUUCAUCUUUUAGAAUGUUGUCUACAAUAUAAACAGUGUAAUUAAUUUCAUCAUUACAGAACAGUCAUCUUAUAAAAUAACAUAAAAAUUAUUGGAUCACUUGUAUGGCACCACUGAUUUGGACUUGGUAUGGCUCUGUUUGGCUUCAUAGAAAAAAUUUGGACCCAAUUUGAAUGUCUUGCAUAAAAAGAGAUACGUCCCACUUUGAAUGAUAUUGAAGAAAAAAAUUUCUGAUGAAGAAUAUAUUGUUGGCAGGGUCAUGCAGGCCAAUAGGGAAACGAUAAAUUCAGAAGAAUGAGUCCAAACCAGUGGGCUUGAAAAUUAAGAAGAGAAUUGCUGUAUAAAACAAUCAUUUCUUAAUCGAGUUCACUUUCUGAAUAAUCGUCACUUUGAGAAUGCAUACUUAGGAAGAUGAUGAUCCUUAAUGGGAAUAAUCAAAGGCAUCAAAAAAUUGUUCUGGAACAAUUCUUGAUUGUCUCCAGUAAAAUUCAAAGUCAAAAGUCAAAAGUCCAGUCGGUCAACACCAAACCAGGCCAGUCCAAAAGACAUUAAUUUGCAAUCUAGAAUCUAUGAUGAGGUGGCGAAAUCAAACCUUGGCUUUUCACCAGGGAAUGGUACUCUGAAUUUGGUCAGUUCACUGUUUCGAGUGAAUAGGGUGUAGUAAUUAGUAAAUCAUAUUUUAGAUUUGUGUCACAAGUUACAAGGGAUAUGGGCUGACGUUCAAUUUUGGCGACAAUUUGUGGGCCCGUAUAUUUGUUGAGAUGUGGAAAUUGGGUGUGUGCUUUUUUCUGCUACCACAUAAAUAUAUUUCUUUGAAUUGAAGAGUGUUUCAGACCAUUUUUUUUCAAGUCACAAAUGGACAACUGAUUGAGAUUGUAUUGGUGAGAGUAGGAGUUUAUUUUGGGCUGGUUGAGCGAAGUUGAAAGUCGAGUUGGACCUAACCCUUGAAUUCAGCAGACUACAGUCCGAUCCUGUAUUUUGGAUUUAGGGAACCUUCUUUCCCAGAAGCUUCGUCUGGGUUUUAAAGUCUAAAUGUGGCUACUCUUAAACAUUGGAGAAAGGAUGAGCGUUCACAAGCAAAUGGGUAAUUGUGGAUGGUUCAAGGACCUGGCCAGCUGGUCUUCAAGUUUGGAUGCCGGUUUGGGCCUGAGAGAGUCUUUGCAAAGUGACUUCACUUCAGCCUAUGAGAUCAAGAUAUCAUGGUGAUGUCCGAUCACUUAGGUUUCAUUUUCACCUCGGAUUACCGUUACCAUGUUCAUGAAUAAAAAUAAAUAAAUAAAUGAAGCCUUAUAGAGAAAUUAAUGAAGUGAGCUAUACAAGCAACUGGGCCAGGAGCCUACAAGGCAGAAAUUCCCUGCCCUAGACUAGGCCGAAUAAAUUAGAUGAAUGAAUUGGGGAAACCUGGGCCAGCCACACAUCCUCCUGAAGGCUGAUGUCGAACUCGCUUACGAGGAAUGGACAUGGGAGAUUGGGCUGGGACCAAAUAACCAAUUGACAGCCCUAUCCUUGUGGCAAGACGUCAGUAAAAUGGUUCAUUCUGAUUUUACGCUGCCAUUCAAUUUAAUUUUAAUUUUUGUUUAAAGCGAUGUACAAAUUGAAUGGUGUCUAGUCACUUAAAGAGUGGUUCAUAAUACACUUAAUUUAAACAAAAAAGAAAUUAUUAGAUAGGGGAUUCUCCAAUAAAAACCACCCCAUCUUGUCAGCAAGUCCGGAAACUUCCUUCACUUAGGGCGUAUUUGUUUUUUUAACUUUAAUAUUAAAGAAAGUUGGUUAAACCUUAUGACACUUUUAUAUUAUUUUAUGAAUUUUUUUUAAUUUUUAUUUUAAUGGAAUUUUAACUUUAAUACAAGUUGGAGUAAUUCUUAUCUUAAAAACAAAUCAAAAUUACUUUAAUUUUAUAUAGAAAUAAACUUACAGUAAAUUUACCAUGAAAAUUUCUAAGUCAAAUACACCAUAAGUGCUAGUAUUUUAUAAUAUUUAGAAACAUGUUAAAUUAUUAUUAUUAUUUUUUAAAAUUAUUAGUUUUCAUAUUAGUUUUAGGGAAACUUGUGCUUUAGGUCUUUUAUUUGCAAAUAAUAUGGUUUUCAAAUCCUAAGAAUAGAAAAUAUGAGAAUCAACUGUUAAUGUGGAAAAUAAUAUCAAUUUUGUGCAAUCUCUAUUGACUCAUUUUUUUGUGCCUAGAUUGCCUUCACCCACUUCCAUGUCAACAACCACAUUAAUAGAUUGUUUUUUUUUUAUAAAACAAAUAAUUAUUAUGUUUAAAAUUUUGGGGAAACUCUCUAUCUCUCUUACUUCUUCACUACAUCCGAGACCCAUCUUCCUUAAACGUUUGCCUCUCAUUUUGCCCUAACCCCAAAUCUCAUAAAUUUCUCAUUUUCUUGCCUCAUUUGAAAUAUGAAGAUGACCGAUUCUCAAACAUCUCUGUCUCUCUCUUCACGUUUUGACCAGUCUAAUUGGAAACCCAUUUUCCAAAAACCUUCUUUCUUUCAUUUUGCCCUAACCCCACUAUCUCCCUCUUCAAGACCUAAUCACCCAAACUCGAUAUCUAUCUUCCCAAAACCUUCAAGCAAACUGAACUAGACCCAUAUCUUCUUUUUUCAUCAUCAAAGGUGAAAUUUUUUUAAGGCUUUUGGAAACCGAAUUGGAGCUUUCCCUUCUUCUGGGAUUAAUCAUUCGCAAGUGAGUUUUCCAUUUAAGGCUUUGUUUGGCUGUUGAAAUCUUGGGAUCAAAGGUCUUUUAUUUUCAGGUUUCUUGUAUUUUGCUUUAUUUUCUUGUAUAUAACAAUAAUCAUUGUAACAUAUGCUAGUAGUUACCCUUGGUGCAACUUUACAUUUCCAAAUACCCUAAAGUCCAAAGCUUUUAAUUCCCUUUUCAAAGCUUUCAACUUUGAAAGCAGACUAAACCAUAAGAACUAUGAAACUUAUAUCUCUAUCACCACUAAUUAAGCAUGUCUAUGAAUCCUUCCACUUUAAGUCACUUAUUCUCAAACCAAGAAGGGCUCCUCUCAUUCUCACCCCACCUCAUCUAAAUGAGGGAAAUGAUCAAUUGCAGCCAUGCUUUGCACCAAAUUAGAGAAGUGAUCCUCCCAAUCAUCCAUUACCAAAAAUUGAUCAUGCUGAUGAGAUCAUAAGAGUCUAUUCGGAACUCCCAGUUUACUUGCCUCUUAUCUCAGGAUCCUCCAUUACCCCCUGUCUUUCCAACAUCAAAUCAACUUGCAAACAAUUCCUUUGUAGAUAAAAUGUUUUUAAUAUUGCAAAAGGGGACUUAUCAUAAUGGUUGAAUCGAUUUAUUUGAUAUAAUCACUCAAAUUCAAGCUUAAAAUUGAUCAUAAUAAAAUGUUUUUAAUAUUGUUAAAAGGAGAUUAUAAUGGUUUUAUUUGAUAUCAUUACUAAAAUUCAAGCUUUCAAACAUGCUCUACAAAGAAGUUCUAAAAGACUACAAGAAAGAGUUUCCACUAAAGAAAAACAAUGAAACCAUUUCUACUAAAGACAAACAAUGAAACCACAGAUGCUUUGUGAAAUAUGUACCCGCACAAUCCAACAAACUUUAGAAAUUCACAAACACUACCUAGAAUUUUUGCUGACCAGCAAAAAAUUUAUGCAAUUUAAUUCUUAUUGUUAUUAUUAUUUUCAAUGUGAACAAAUAUGAUUGAAUUAUGAAGUAUUUGGCCAGAAGAGGAUCUUGCCUAAUUAUAGUCAUUAAACAACCAUUUAUACCAUAGCCUCUAGACUUUAAAAAGUUUAUAAAACUCAAGGGCUUCCACCCAAUUUCUAGAUAUCUCCAUAACAUUCUUCUGACUAUUAGAAAGCAAUUACCACUUUAAUUUUUCAUUUCAUGAGUGUUCAAUUCAGAAAAAGACCAGGAUCGAACUUGCGAUCAUGCAGUCGAAAAUCCACCUGUGCAUGAAACUAUUGCCUCACGAUUGCAAACUCAAGUUGGAGUCCAGUAACAACUCUAGGUUUGCUGAUGUGCUCCAUUUGAAAUAAAGGAACUAAAGAAUACUUUAUAAAGAUUAAUUACCUUCAUAUUUUAGGUUGGGGUUAAGGCAAAAUGUGAUAGAUUGAGAGGAAGAAAAUAUAUCUUGUUCAGGAAGCCAAUAUUUUGGAGUUCACCUUUCCAUUCGAGUCCACUCUGCUAUAGCAAAAUCAGAGUCACAACUAUGCCUCUUUAAGCUAUCCUUUAAUUGGAUGAAUUGCAGAUUUGGUUGCUGAGAAAGUGGAUAAGAAAGAAAAAUGCAUACUGUAGCUUGAGAUUAAGAGUUUGUUUUCUAAAAUGAGAGAAAGGGAAAGAGAAAAAAUGCAUAUUGUAGCUUGAGAUUAAGGGUUUGUUUUCUAAAAUGAGAGAAAGGGGAAGAGAAAUGUUCGACAACUUUGAGAUGACAAAUUUUUAGAUUUGGAAAAUUUGAGAUGAGUCUCAGGUUUUUUUUUUUUUUUUUUUGUCUUUGUCUUUGUUUUUUUUUUUUUUUUUUGUUUUUUUCCCAAAAACAACCUGUUAAUGUGGUUGUUGACAUAGAAGUGGGUGAGGGCAAAAUGGGCAUAGAAAAAAGAGUCAACACAAAGUGCACAAAACCCAUAUUAUUUUCCACAUUAAUGACUGAUUCUCAUAUUUCUUGUUCUUGGGAUUUGAAAACCAUAUUAUUUGCAAAUGGACCUCCCAAAGCACAGGUUUCCCUUAGUUUUAUGUCUCCAUCUACAUUUUACAUAUAAAUAGAUUAUUUUAUAAAAUUUGUUUUGUAGAUAUAUUAGUUAAUAAUUAUAUAAUUAAUGAUAUAGAAAACAUAUAAAAAUCAUAUUUAAAAAAGAUAAUUACAUAUUCCUCAACAAUCCAUCCCAAGAAUUCGAGGUUGAGUUGAAAACAUGUAGAGUCUUUGAUGUUAUUAUAAUCAUAUCCAACACAUAUGAUUAUUGUUUAUGAGAUAUUAUUAGAAAGUUUGUCUUAAAAUAAUUGAUUUAUUACCCACCUUUAGCAAAUGCCCAUUUUUGCGUCUUUCAAAAUUUUCAUUUUUUUUUUGUUUAAAAGAAGUAUUGUAAAGAAUGAUGAAAUAAGAAAUUUGUUGAGAAAGUGUGAGUAAAUAAUUUUACAUAAAAAGAGAUUUAAUACUUGAUAAAUAAAAUAAUAAAAUCAUGAUUUCUAGUUGUAUAGGGCCGGGUGGAUGGAGUGGCUAAGAUGUAAUUCUUGAAAUAGAGGAGACAACAUCAAUGUAUAAAAGUUUAACAGAGAAGGAAAGUGUGUUUGAAUGACUUUAUUUUCUUCAUUUAAAGUUUUGACGAUGAGUGUUUAUACAAGAUAAAUUUUCAAAUGAUAGGACUCCUAUUUACAUGGAGUUUGUGAUAUACUAUGAUUAUACAAAUUUAAAAUUCAAACAGAUUCAUGAGUUGAUAGGAGUCUGCUCAAUACGCCCCUUCAAAAUGGUGGGAGAUAGCACACCAAUCUUGACUCGAAGGGCCUAAACUCGUGCAGAAGAUGAGGGCUUUGUUAGAGCAUCGACAAGUUGAUCCGUGGUUGACAUAUGGGACACCUUGAGCUCACCUGAUUAAACCUUGUUUCAAACAAAAUGAAAAUCAAUCGCCGAUGUGUUUCAUGGAGAGUGAAACAUGGGAUUUGCACAAAGAUAUGUUGCACCCACGUUAUCACAAGAGAUAGGAGGUGGUGAUAAAUUUGAAACACUAAGUUUUGAGAGAAGAGAAUUAACCCAAAGAACCUUUGAGGCUGUAGAGGCCACGACGUGAUAUUUCGCUUCAGUGGAAGAGCGUGCUAUGAACUUUUGUUUCCUCGAUGACCAAUACACAAGAUUGUGACCAAGAAAAACAAUGGGAGCAUUGGUGGAGGAUCUGACAUAAGGAUUCCUUGCCCAUUCAACAUUCGAAUAUGCAUGUAGAUUGAUGGGCGAUUUCUUAUGCAAGAACAGACCAUGCACCAUUGUGCCGACUAAGUAUCUAAGCAAUCUUUUAACACAAGACCAAUGUGUUGAUGUUGGAUGGUGCAUAAAUUGAGAUAAUUUAUUCAUCAAGAAGGUGAUGUCAGGGCUAGUAAGAGAGAAGUAUUGAAGGCUUCCAACAAUUGACAUAUAUUUAGUGGGACCAGGAAAAGAGGUGUCAUCACACAGAUUUGGAACAUUGUUGAGGAACAUCAAUGAUUGAACUGGUUUGGUAGCCACCAUUUGUGUUUUCUUAAGAAGCUCUCGAAUGUACUUGAGAUAAAAAUAAUCCUUUGGAAGUAUGUAUCAUUUCAACACCAAGAAUAAAAGAUGAAGUCCUGAGAUCCUUAAUGGAGAAUUUGACUGCUAAUUGAGAGAUCACGCGAGCACGAAAAACAUUAUUGUUACUUGUUAAAAUAAGAUCAUCAAUAUAAAUAAGUAGGUAAACAAUGAGACCACUCUUUUUAAAAAUGAAGAGGGAUGUCUCGGUUUAGGAGUUGACGAAGGCUAUUGAGAGGAGAAAUUGGCAAAGUUCAUGAUACCAUGAUCGUGGAGCUUGUUUAAAGCCAUAAAAAGCCUUACAAAGUUGGCAAAUGUGAUGAUGUGUGUAUUCGUGAACCCAGGAGGUUGAAUCAUGUAAACAUCUUCAUGAAGUGUCCUAUGCUAGAAUGCAUUAUUAAUGUCCAAUUCAUGAGUUGAUAGGAGUCUGCUCAAUACAAUGUGGGAGUGUGAUUUCAAAAUUAGGGUAAUUUCGAAAUGGAUUUUGUAUUCACAAGUUGAAUUUCAAAAUUAUUUUGAAAUGGUCUUUUAACUUUAAGCAGUUGUGUUCAAAAGGUCAUAACUUCUUCGUUUCAAUUUUGAUUUACACAUUGUUUAAAACAUUGGACUCUUUACUUCCCGAGCUUCAAAACGAUAUAUAGUAUGCUCAAAAAUGACAUCAGGAUUGGUUCAAAUUUCAUCUUGAUAUUAGAGUACAUGUUGUGAUUAGAUUUUGAGUUCCAAAUUUCCAUGUAAACUUGAUUGCAUUUGCUUCAAACCUCCUUCAUUAUGGUUGCUUGCCCUCUAUCUCACUUUGCAACAUUUGUUACUAGUAUUUUAUGUCCAUGACUUACUCAUUUCAACCUUUCUUGGAUUCUUCAUGGUUCACAAAUUAUGGAUUCUUCAUGGUUCACAAAUUGAGUCUUUCAAUUAUGCAUGUUUAACUCCUAUUUCCUUGGUUGAUAAUGACUUUUACACUUAUCAUUUUCUUUUAUUCUUUAAACCUGAAUUUAGACUUACAAAAAAAAGUUAGAUCCAUAACUAGGGUCUUAGCAUCAAUUUGAGUUAAGUUGGAUGAUUUGAAAAUUUUAUAUUACAUAAAUCAUAUCAUACAUGUGCCAUUGGAGUGCACAUUUUGGCUCUAAUCAUGUUCCAACCCAUUGUUUUACUCUUGCAUGAAGUAUGUGGCCAUUGAUUUUAAUUUUAUUUGCGAUUAGGUUCAAAAUGGUGCUUUUGUGUUGCUCAUGUGUCAUCAGAAGAUCAACUAAUGGAUUCUCUAACAAAACUACUACAUCAUAGUCAUUUUUUUUUUUCUUAAGACCAAGAUUGAGAUCUCCAAUCGGAGCCAACUCCAUCUUGGGGGCAUGUUAGUGAAAGAUAAAAUUUAUCUUUAAUUUAAAUAUUAAUAUUUAUCAGUUAUUAGUUUUAAUUAGAGUAAAAGAUAGAGUUUAAAUUGGAGUAGGAGAUAAACUUGUGUUUGAACUAGAAUAGAAGAUAAAGUAUAAAGAUUUAUGUUUGAAUUAGAAUAAAAUAUAAAGUUUGAAUUAGAGUAGAAGAUAAACUUGUUCUUUAUUUGUAUAUAAAUAUUCAUCAAUUCUUGAGAAGAAGAUUAUUUCAUAGUUUUUCUAUCUUCUUUUUUCUUCAUACAUAUCUGCAAGAAAUUGAAGAUUUCAAGUAAAAUAUUUUCUGUUUUAAAUAGUGAAAAAAGCUAGAAAUUCACUUUGUUAUCUCUUGGGGUAAAUUGACAAGGUUUAACGUUAAGAAGGUGAAUUAUUUUUUCAGAAAAACUGAAGUAGCUAGGAUAUCUGGCCAGUUGUGAUCGAUAAAAAAGUUGUAAAAUCUCUCAUAUACUAAACAGGUUUUGGAUGUUGGUAUGGUAAAUCCAUCUGCAGUCAUUCGUCAUCUCAUCUAGUGAGAUGUUUGGGAGGUGGUGACCGCCGGAUUGGGUUUCAUUUGGUUAAAUCUGUCAGUGGGUUGGCUACUACCCGAGCCUCUUGCUUUGGGGGAGGUGGGUUCUAGAUAUAAUGUUCAAACCAUUUUAGUUAUCAUAUGCAUGACAUGUAAGCAUAAUCUCUUUAUCACUUCUUCAAUGGGAGUUCAUGGUUAGGAAUUGACUUCUUUUCUUCUGGGAUGCUUGGCAUGUAAUGGACAAAGUUACUUUUAUAUCGAUCGAAUUUCUAGUAUUAUAGUGAAGACUUACCCUUUUGACAUUUUAUAUCGAAUUAUAGAAGAUGAAAGGGACAUACAUGCAAUCGACUGACGCUUUAGUGAAUAUGCUGAAAAUAUGCUGAUGCUGUGGAGAUCGUAUGAGGACAGAGGAAAAAGAUAGAAAUGGAUAUAUAAUUAGACCUAGGUUUUUAUUAAAUGAGAUGGGGAACAUAGAGUGAGGGAAAAUCAAAAUUUUUGGCUGCAGUUCACAUUGGUGAUAUUUUGGAUUGACAAAGACUAACGACUUUUCUAUUUUUCUUUUCGGCCUGACUGGAUAGUUGGACAUGGACAAUACAGAAUCCACAGAAGGAUUGUUGGGACCGCUGAAAAUUAGCUAGAAGAAGCUGAGGAAGUAGUCUACGUAGUCAAAUACCAAACACAAAGAAAGAAAGAAAUGGAUAUCAUGGAUGCCUAGAGUUAUACUCCUAAUACCGUCACAGGUAUUUUUCUUUCCUCCUUUUUUUUUCUACGAUAAUUAGAGCAUUUCUCCUCCUCCUCCUCCUCCUCCCCCCACCCCACCACCAAAAAAUAAAAAAAUAAAUUAUUGCAAGUAACACUUCAAAUAUUAAUUUAUACAUUCUAAAGUAUAUAUUCAUGAAAUAACUUGAGUAUCAUACAUUAGUUCUCAAAAAAAAAAAAAAAAAAAAAAAAAAAUUACUGGAAGAGAAAAGUUUAAGAAAACAUAAAAAUAUUCAACUACUAUUUUAAAGAGAAAAUUUAAUUUUUACACUAUAAAUUUGAAGAGAACUUUUACAUGCAUCUUAUAUAAACUACCAUUUUUUGCUAAAAGGCUUAAAUUUGUCAAAAAUACCCCUUAGGUGCUUAACGUUCUGGUCAUAAUAUAAUUGGCAUCUUUUCUCAAACAUAAGGCCUGUGUGUGGGAACAAGAUUUAAUGUUAAUGAGCUUCGCCACCGACAUUUAGUUCCAGAAAUCAUUAUUUUAAUAGAGUGGGCUCAAUUUACAACUUUAAUUAAACUCUAACCAACUGCAUUGUGAAAUGAAUAUGUUUCUUUCGUGGUGAAUCCAAUGAGUUGGGAGUCAAACUUUGCUUCAUUGUGUAUAGAUGAAAUGUUAAGACUCCAUGUAACCUCAAACAUUUCCGCAAUNNNNNNNNNNNNNNNNNNNNNNNNNNNNNNNNNNNNNNNNNNNNNNNNNNNNNNNNNNNNNNNNNNNNNNNNNNNNNNNNNNNNNNNNNNNNNNNNNNNNUUCUUUCGUGGUGAAUCCAAUGAGUUGGAGUCAAACUUGCUUCAUUGUGUAUAGAUGAAAUGUUAAGACUCCAUGUAACUCAAACAUUUCCGCAAUGAGCGGGAGUUCUAAAUUUAAUAAUUGAAAUUGUCAGUGGAACCAGUGGACAAGAGUUGGUUUGUGGUUGACAAACUUAUCCGUUUGAUCUUUACUUGAACAGUUCCAGUGUGUGGAUGGGUACUGAUGAAGUGUGCGCAUUUAUUUUGAGAAGCCUGCUUGUUCGCAUAGAUUUUAACGACAUGAACAUUGUGGUAAGGUUAGAGAGUAAUGCGAAUGUAGGAGCUUAUAUUAGAAAUGACACAAACACGUAAAUAGAAGUAAUCUAUAUAUGAUAUUACUCAUGGACUACAAGCAAAGAAGUACAAUACAUGGAGUAAGUGAUGAAAUGAGCAUUCCUCACUACUACUGCUUGACUGAUGGAACAUGAUGCACGAGAUAGCAUAAGUAGUAGUAGGAAGCAGCUCUUAUUUGUGGCGUCGGUAUACAUCAUACUAGGUAGAUGGUUCAAUUGGCAUGGAUGGGUGGUGGAGCCUUGAAGUGCUUGUGAUGGGGAGCCCACGGCUUCUUCUCAGGAGUUGGUGGCUUCUUGUAUGGAGUUGAUGGAGGUGUUUCUACUGGAGGGUGGCCAGGGUAGUGACCCUGGGGUGGUGAAGGUUCUUUUGUCGGUGGUGGCCUCACUAUUAUUGGCGGUAGAGUUGGUGGCUUGGGCGUUGGCGGUGGUCUCACUACUCUUGGGGGUAGAGUUGGUGUCUUGUGUUUUGGUGGUGGAGGUGGCUUAACAGGAGUUGGUGGCUUGUAUUCUGGGGGUGGUUUCUCCACCGGAGGUGGCUUAUAAACUGGAGUUGGUGGCUUGUAUUCUGGGGGUGGCUUCUCCACUGGUGGUGGCCUGUAAACAGGGGUUGGUGGCUUAUAUUCUGGGGGAGGCUUCUCCACUGGAGGCGACUUAUAAACAGGGGUUGGUGGCUUGUAUUCCGGGGGUGGCUUCUCUACGGGAGGUGGCCUGUAAACAGGGGUUGGUGGCUUCUCCACCGGAGGUGGCUUAUAAACGGGGGUUGGUGGCUUGUAUUCUGGGGGUGGUUUCCCCAGUGGUGGAGACUUGUAAACAGGAAGAGGUGGUUUGUGCUCAUAUGGGGGUGGCUUGUGGUCAUUAGCAAGUGAGGGAGUGGUGAGGACCACCAAUCCAAGGAACAACACGAGUGAGCAAGCAGAAGACAUGUUUGGGCUCUGGUGAUGCACAAGUAGAAGAAAUGGGAACCAUUUAUAAUGCUUCGAGACCUUGGUUAGCACCAAAAUAUGUCAAAAUCUUGAUUACUUCAUUUCAUACAUAGAUUUAAAAUUAUUUCAAUCAACCAUGAUCCUUAAUUUUCUGG